RNAcentral lists this long non-coding RNA (57424 nucleotides) under Sorghum bicolor (sorghum). RNAcentral's name for it is "long non-coding RNA (SBIC_LNC003070)". The record is from RNAcentral. Lineage: Eukaryota; Viridiplantae; Streptophyta; Magnoliopsida; Poales; Poaceae.
CCACAAACACGAUGCACAACCGCUAAGAAAGGAAAGCUUCCACAAGGUGAUACUACACCAUCACUCUUCAAGCAAGGUAACAUUUUAAGGUACUUGACUAUCACUUUUAUAAGCUUCUCCUUGGUUCUGGCGUUCAUAUAAAUAAAAGAGACAAACAUGUAUGAUUUACAACUCUAGGUUAACCAACCCAACUGAUUCAACAUGUUUAGUCCUUUAAUCCUUGUUCUUAGUACUACCUCCAUGAUCCCACAUGAGCUAAACUGUUGCACAUUUAAUCUUUGGGAAGAUAUAAAGAAAAAGGCAUAUAUAUAUAGAUAGAUUAUCUUUCCAUUAGGUUGAGCGAUCUGAUCCAGCAAGUGUUUUAAAUGCUACACUCAUGAACUUAUCAUUCAUCAACUUUGUCUUGCUCACUAUGCUUAGGGUUAGAGAAGAACAAAUACACUUUUGGUUCUGUUGGUGUUUUCCACCAACAGGACUUAUGCACUUGAUCUCUGCCUUGUCUCUAUGAGCAGGUACACUUCGAGCAAAACAUGGAGGAGUUUUAUAACUCUCAGACUCUACCAAGUGAAGGACUUGGAUCUACGAGCACAAACACACUGAGCAAGAUACUGUCAACGCCGCACUUCGAACUGUUGGGCAAAGGAAGAGGUGCAGACGUCAAGGUCCGCACCUGAAUCAAAUGACACAGAACACAGUGAGAAGUCUUGUUAAGAAGACUUAAAACAUUGAACCCUCGCCGAAAGGUAAGAUCGGUAGUUAUCCAUAUUUAUCCUUUCUGCAUUCCCUUUUCCCUUUAAUUAUUUAUUUUCCUUAAAUAGAUUAUUAGUUAAAUCAUGCUAUCUUGAAAAGAAAAUAAAAAUGUUAAAAAAUACUAAGCCCCAUGUGCGUAUACGAGUGGCAUAAAACCCAUAAGUACCUUCACUGUGGUGGCAUAAAAAUAAAAUAAAUAUUUCUUUUCUGCUUUAUAAAAUAAAAAUAUAAAAAUAGGGAGUAAUAUUUAUUGAGGAAGCUCAACAUGAUGAAGGCUAGAUAUUUAUGCUAACACUUAAUUAGUUCCACAAGCUUUGUUGUCUAUUUGAGCUCCACAGAAUUUAAGAAUCAAGAAGACUAGCAGACGGAGGACAUUCUAAUCGCUGUCAGAAUGCUGCUGACUUUCAAGUACACCUCUGCCACCUGCUAGCUACAUCAAGAGAAAUUACGUCAAAAUUCAGCUUGGGGGAGAGCACCUCCAUUUAUCUCGCUAAGUAUUUCUACCUAUCUUUAUACUUAUAUUAUGUUAGAAUAUUAAAAUACAAAACUAUGAAAAAACAAAUAAAGAUUUUGUGCUUAUAUAUAUAUCUUUUGCUUAGUGUGUUUAAUAAAUAAAUAAAGUGGCUAUGCUAAUCUGAAUCUUAAUAAUGAAACUCUAGCAUGGAUAUGAUGAAUAGUUGCUCUGCCUAAUUUGCAAAUUUGAAGUUCUCUCUCAAGUUUAGACAUAACUGUUAUAAUUUAAAGUUUACUCUAGAUCUAAAUUUGUGGGAUGAAAAUUUGAUGUAAAAUCUAAGUUGUUAACGGAUAUGAUAUGAGAAGGUUGAGCUGUUGUUUAUCUGUUCCUAGAGAUGCUAGAAUUCUAGAGAAUUUUAUCUUUGAAAAAUCUUUAAAAUAUUGCAUGAUGAGUUCCUGUAUGAUGAGAGUUUAAAUUCCUACCACAACCAUAUAUACAUGCUUGCUAGACUUUGAGCCACAUAUUUACUAUUUACUACAUAUGAGCAUUGAGUAUGGUCAAGCUGUGUAGACCCUUAGGAGCUUGUCAUGUGGUUAAAUCAAGAUUCACUUGCACGUUCACUCAUAUAUGCUACUUCUACUCCGGAAGUACCAUCCACAUAUAUCCAUCCAUGUCCAUCUCCAGAACCACCCAAAAAUAUUCUACUCCUAAUCUGGGAGAGAAUAGCCAAAAAUAUUUCUGUUUUCCCUUGUGAAAUAAAUGCUCAAGUUAUCUUGCUACUACCACUUGCUAUAUUAUCUCAAAAGAUGAGUGCUCUGAAAAGAAAAAAAAGAGAGAAAAGAGAAGAAAAAAAUAAAAUAAAAUAAAAUAAAAACGAGGAAAUAAAAAGGGGCAAGUGCCCGGAACCUCGAAAGAAAGAAAAAGUGAGACGAGAGGUAAAAAUGGACGAGCGUCCGACAGUAGAAUUAGGGGUACAAGAGACCCACCUGAGAGGAAAGAAAAAGAAGAGCAUCUCAUUCUCCUCAUAAAGUUUCAAAAAGCAAGGAAGGUAUGUAUCCCCUCAAAAGAGCAAAAGUAGAAUUAGACUUUCACCAUUGUUAUCACCACCAUCACCAUACACCAUUCAUUCACCACACAUGCACAUCUUGAUUUGGCUUAUUGAUUUGUUUCUUUGGAUUCAUGGUUUGACUAUACAAUAAAUGUCUUGUAAGUAUGUAUACUUUAUCUCCCACCUAUGAGCUCCAGAUAUUAAAGCCUUAUUAGAGUAGGGUGAGAGAGAAGGCAAUGUCACUAUGACUUAUACCACAAAUACCAUAUAUCUUGAGAGAAGGCAUAUACCAUCACUGCCUUGGUAAGGAUCCAGAAAUACCACAAAAGAGAGAUUUAGAGAGUCAUACAAGGAAUCUCUGAGUUUUAUUUGAAAAUCUGCAAAAACUCCAGAGCUAUAGCUGAUCAAGAAUAAGGGACAUGGCACUUGGCUAGACUGUACUAUCUUUUAACUACUCAAGACAGAAGUGACGGUUACAAGUCCCAUGGUGAAAGGUAAAGUAAGUAAGUUUUAGUUCUUGACAGUUUACUCUAACUCAGAGAUGAGAUCUUAUUCAAAAGCAUGUGUACCGUCAAAUUUUUAAGAUAUUGCAACAACUUCUGAUCCAUUGUUGAGUCUAUCCUUGCUCAGGGACGAGCAAGAGGUAAGCUUGGGGGAGUUUGUUGACGUUCCUUAAGUAUCAAAUUUAAUUAUCAAAUAAACAAAGAAAAGGAUCCAAAUGAAAUCAACAUCUAGACUUAGUGUUUUAUCUGACAGAAUUCCACGAGUUUUGGUGUUUGUCUAUUUCUGCAGGGGGUUAUCAGGAAAUACGGAAGAAAGGCCCACACGUCGGGAUUACAUAGAGAUAUUAACGUGCAGUGCAAUUAUCUUACAUCUAGAAGACUCCAGAAGCCAAGGGAAGGAAGCGAAGGCCGAACGGGGCCAGAGGCAGGGCGCCCGCCCUCCUGCCCUGGGCGCCCGCCCUGACUUGGAGCCCAAUCAGGACUCUUUCUCUCAGGAGAUCUCCACCGACCUAAAGGAUCAAGAAUAACCGUUCAAUCAAAGUCGGUUUGAUCCGACGGCCCAGGUUCACUUGAGGGGACUAUAUAACCAGACCCCCUGGCCCCUGGAGGAGGCACCCCUUGAUCAUUAUUCACUAUUUAUAGACAGAGCAAAAGCUAGGGUUUAGAUAUGAGAGCUCUCCUCUCUUCUCUAAACUAGAGUAUAUCUAGAUAGUAGCAAGAUGGAGAGCUAAGGAGGAUUAGAGGAGAGGCCGGCCUGUCGGUUCUUCCUCUGGUUCUACUUUGUCAUGAUCAAGCUCUAAUCAAGCUUGCUCAUGGGAUGACUCUGGUAAUCUACUUCUAAUUCAUUAUGCAAUUACUAAUUAUGUAUGUUCUGGUUCACAACUCUUUUGAGUAUUCUAAUCUAUAGGACGCUAUAUUUGAGAGUUGUAGUAUAGGUGUAAGCGUGGUGCUUAGACCUAGAUUACUUGUGGAUAUCCCCUGUCUAGCUGGAUCGUGUGGUAGGCCGCGUAAGUGACAGCUAUGUUGGUCCUCUGUAGUCCACCUCUUGUUAGCAGGACGGGUAGGGUUUAUCGGCCUAAGGAUAAGCAUCCUUUGUGGUGUACUCUUAUCACGUGGUUCGUCCCAGACAUAGACAUACCCCUUUGAAGUAGAGAAACCAUAGUUAUCCUCUCUAUUCUGCUACCAUCGCCCAUAUACUAGAAUUGCUCUAGUCUCUAUUUCCAUAUUAUCACUCACUGAUAUCUUAUCUUUAAUAUUGUUCUUAUUCGAUUCCACCAUCUUUCCUAUUUACAUCUAUUUACUUAUCUUGGUUAAGUUAGAGCAUAGAUCAGUUCUCCCGUUUCCCUAUGGAUACGAUAAAACCUUUAACCGGGUAAAUGCUAUAAUGGUAUCCGUGCGCUUGCGGAUUAUCUGUGUGCAUAUAAAUACCAUAGUACACUCUAGUGCCAUGCUGGGGAUGAUAACCUAGUAUUCAAGUGGUGUUAGCAAGUGUCAACAGCGGGCGCCCAAGGGGGGAGGGCGGGCGCCCUGCCCCCGAGCCCGUUCGGCCUCCCGUUUGUUCCCGUGGCUUCUAGAGUCUUCUAGAUGAUAGAAAAUUGUGCGGCAUGUUAAUAUCUCUAUGUAAACCCAACGUGUGGGCCUUUCUUCCGUAUUUCCUGAUAACCCCCUGCAGAAAUAGACAAACACCAAAACUCGUGGAAUUCUGUCAGAUAAAACCCUAAGUCUGGGUGUUGGUUGCAUUUGGAUCCUUUUCUUUAUUUAUUUGAUGAUUAUAUUUAGUACUUAAGGACCGUCAACAGGGAUUACGUAGGUGGCGGCUUCAUCCGCUCCCAAUUGGUGCUCCUACUCCCUUCAAGGUAUUCCUUGAUUGAUUAUAGGUUGUGUUGGUUGGUUCUUUGAGUGUGUGGUUGGGCGAAUCCUCGAUUCAAGUUGUCGGUUAAAGACGUUGGUUGGCUUUGAGUUUUAUUUGUCAGGUUGCACUAGUUAUCGCUGCUUGCAGCAAGUUAUCCGGCUGUUCUUUAGCUAGUUAUCGGUGUUCUUCCUACAUCAUGAAGAUCAGGACAAGUGUCGCAUCAUCAAGGAAGUAGAUAUGCUGAGCGCCAAGAUGCACUUGCUAAUGAAGAGGCUCGAUGAUAGAGCUAGUGAGAAGAACGAGCUCGUCAAUUACUCUCGUAUGACUUAUGAAGAAUGUGGAGACACUAGGCAUUCAGGCAACCACUGCCCAACACUCCAGGAGGAUGUGAGCUACCUCAACAACAACAACUACAAUCGUCCUCAACAAAAUCAUGGCUGGAAUCAACAGAGGUCUAAGUACUCAACCAACUACUCCUCAGGUAACUACCAAGGUAACAACUUUAGCAAUAAUUUCAAUCAACCACCUUUGAGAGAGUUAGUUGUGAAUCAAGGAAAACUCAUGGAUAAUCUAUCUAUGAAAAUUUCAUCCAGUGAUAAAAUUUUAGAGACAAUGAAUACUAGGAUGGAUAACUUUGCAACAGCAAUUAAGAAUCAACACAGCUUUAAUAAAAUGAUUGAAUCUCCAAUAUCUCAAUUGAUAACUGAUGUUCCUACCGCUAACCAAGGAAAGAUUCUGGGGCAACCGGAAGAAUUAGAAUGUGAAAAUCUUGUCGAUAUAUACAAUGUAGGGAAGUAUUUCAGGGCUGUAUCAACUAGAGGCUGGAAAGAUGAGUCCAUGCCCGAGAAGAAAGGUGGUCCACGAAGGUCGGUCAUCCCCAUCAACAUUGGAGGCAACCACUUCUUAGAAGUACUUUGUGACUUUGGUGCAAACGUUAACAUCAUGCCUAAUGUACUAUACGAGAAAAUUCAUGGAGACCCAUUGUUUUAUACAACCAUGUGCUUGCAGAUGGCAGACUAGACACUGUGCUACCCAAAAGGAAUCCUUGAAGAUGUCUGCGUCUAAGUUGGCUAAUCAUAUGUGCCUGCGGACUUUAUGGUAAUAGAGACCGGAGGUGAUGAGAGAGCACCCAUCAUCUUGGGGCGCCCAUUCUUCUCCAUUGUGUUGACGGUAGUUAACUCCUAUUUUUAACUGUCAACAUAACUUUAUAACUUCAAACAAAUGCUAACAUAGGUUUAGAGGUUUGAACUAACAAAUUCCACGAGUUUUGGUGCAUCUAUGUUUUGUAGGGGUUACACAGGAAAAGAGCUAAAGGCAAUCCAAUCAGUGAAUAAAAGUACCUCAAAUGAUGAAGCAGACUGCACCAUUACAACAGGCUCAUCGUGAUGAUCGAAAUCCAUAUAUCAUUUGCCCUAUUUGGAGUCUCAAAUGAAGGAAUAUGAAUUUCACAAGAAAAUACACUUUUCUUGAGUCUAUAAGGUUUGAGACGACACUAGAACGAACGGGAAGGCAAACGGCCACAGGGGAUGGGCGCCCGCCCCACCCCCUUGGGCGCCCGCCCGGCCAUAGCAGCCAAUCAGGCUCUGGCUCGCGGAUUCCCAAUCCACCGCCUUUGAGGAUUAAUCUUAAGCGCAUGUUUAUGUCGGUUAGAUCCGAAGGCUAUGGUUUCUCCUAGGGGGUGGAAAGAUUAGUACCUCAUCACUAGUUCAAGGAAGAGGAGGGGUCAGAUGCCCCCUAUAAAUACAAGCCUGACCCCCAUGGAGGAGAAUCAUUAUGAGUUGUAGAGGUAUCCCUCGAACGGAUGACCUCUCUUCUCUAGAGAAUUAGGGCUAGACAUUCCAAUGUAGUAGAUUAGUUCUAGUCGGGGGUUAGGGAGAGCGGAGCUACGCUCUGGUUCUGGAGGUGUCUUCUUUAGAGUUUUGGUAUGUCUUCAUAUCUCUUCAUUGUAAGACUUAUGCUUUAACUUAUGCUUUAAUAUAUUAUCUUCUCUUUUUAAUUUAUGUCUAUUUAUGAUUAGUGUAGUUGUUUUAUCUUGGAAUGGGAUCUCUGUUUGUAUUGAGUGCUCUAGUUAUCCAUGGUAAUUAGAGUAGCAAACGCUAGUGUAGACGUGGUGUCUAGGCAAUAGUUUACCUGAGGUUCCGCUCAAUCCCACGGAUAGUUGUAGUAGCCCCAGGGGUGAUAGCCCUGUCAGGCCUUUGUAAUCCACCACAUUUGGAUUGAUGUUUCGUAGAGCUUUUUGGCAGCCUUCCCCUGACUACUUUCUUCCCAGUCUUAUUCCAGAGUUGGAAAGGACCUUCUGUUCCAAAGUGCUAUUGUGUGAUUGCUAUAUCUUUUCAUAUUCUAUUAUCUUAGACCCUAAGUAAUAGAGAAAUACAUAGGAACCUUGAUCUUUCAUAUUAUCCUCCCACUAUAACUAUCUAUAUAUUAAUCAUUAAAUUCUCUUAUAUUUGCUUAAUUGAAUUAUCUUAUAGUAUAUCAUUUACCCCUGCUUAGUUUAGUUGAUACUCUAAGUUAGUAGAUGUAGGAUAGUGAAUUAUUAGAUUCUUAACCCUAGCUUCCCUGUGGUAAAAUAUAAAUAAUGAUACUUGGAAUACUCCUGGUAAAAUGUUACAAUGAUGUUCUGUGCACUUGCGUAAUCUUUUAUAAUUAUUUUGCACUAAUGAAUGUCAUUAAGCAUUUUUGGCGCUGUUGCUGUGGGUUAGGCUUUUUGCCUAUCUUUAGUGAUUGCGUUAAGAAAUGCCAACAAGCAUUUUUGGCUUCGUUGCCGGGGAAGUAAUUGGCAUAAUGAUUCUAAUAAUGAUCUUGAUGUCUGCUAAUUUAGUGUACCACUAGCUUUAGUAGGAUUACCCUUUAUUCAGUUGAGUGAUAGACAAGACAUCAGAAGCCGCUUCGACCUUGCGACAGGAUUCCACAGGAAUAAAGAACCCAGGGUGCUUGAACAUUCAUGAUCCAUCAUUCUGGAACCCUGCCAUCUCACAGGUUUCUAUAUACAUAUAUAUUUUCAUUUAUUCUAACCUUGUGUUGAUUGGAGAAAAGGUCGUUGUCACAAGAAUUCAACUCCCAUCCCAUGUGACGGAUAUUUACGCUAUGCCAUCAUCCCAGUUGUGCAUCAUGUGUGAUCAAGGUGAGAUAGUCUUACUCAUGGGCUUUAAACCUUGUGAGUAGUUAUAUUUUUAUUUCCUUGCAUACCACGGCAUGUCUACUUAGAAUCAUUCAUGCAUCCACUUCAUUUAGUUUUCUCAUCCACAUCAUGUUUAGUUCCUUGCAUGCACACAAUUCAUCUACAUCUAAAAAUAUAAUAAUAAUUCUCACUACGAUCAUACUCUAUCAUCACUAUUGAGUAAAUCUCUAUAAUCCUCUCAUGCUACCUUUGUUUACUAUAGUAUGCGUAGGCUUUUGAAGUCUUUUUAGACACCUUUUAAAAUUAGGCAAGGUGCUUAGUUUAAACUGUUGUUCUGACUUAAGUUAGACAAGGUGUCUAUUUUAAUUCUUGGAACAAAAGGUGUGCUGAUCUUACUUCUAAAAGGAUUUUAAAUUAAGCAUGGUGCUUAGGUUAAAAUGUCUUCUUCAAUCAAAUUAGACAUGGUAUCUAGGUUGAUUUUUGAGCCAAUAGUAUGCUAUAGUAGAUAUUGGAUAUUUUGUUAGACUAACCCCUACAAGAGAAUCUCAAAUACAAACUGGGAAAGUCUUGAGAUGAACUCACACUGGAGAUGAAGGGAGACACAACUCACGCGUAGCUAAGAAGAAAGAAGGGUGCCACAAAACAUGAUCCAUGAUCAAAGUACUCACUCCAUGGUGUUGCAUUGUCUUCUCAACUACAAAUUAUCAGGAAUCAAGAAAAGAUUGCCAAGAAAUGAGCAUGUAACAUUCUACACUCUCACCUCUAAGGUUGAGAAGCUGAGACAUGAGGAAGAAGGCCAACUCCUCUAGACGAUCCAACAAAGUUCUUCCUCAUCACUCCACAUGCUGGUUUGCAAUCUCUAAAUUCACUAUUGCUUUAUUUCUAUGAGUUUGAGUUGAUUCAUAAUGCCUAUAUUUAAGAAUCAAACAAUAAGAUGGAAAAAUAAAAUGUGCUAUGCUAAGUAUGUUAAAACAACAUAUUUUAGAGCACCAAAUGUGACCCUUAGCUUUGUGUUACAACAAUGCCCUUGUCAUUACUUGUAUAUUCCUUCGGGUAUGUGUUGUCCACUGAUGAUUCGCAAGGAUAAAGUAAUAAGAGCUUAAGGUCCAAGCAAAAAUUAGACAGAGAACAAAUAAUGGCAAGAAAGGAGUACAACAAAGGAGACAAGAUAGCCAAGCAAGGAAAGCUUCCACAAGAUGUUACGGCUUGAACAUGCUUUAAUACUAAAUGUAACAUCUCUUGGUAAGUUAUCAUGACUUCCAAUAUUUCAUCCUUGAUUUUCGCACACACGUAAGUAGAGAGCCAAACAUGUUUUGAGUUACAACCUCAUUUCAUCCAAUCUAAUUAGCUCAACAUGUACAGUUCUUUAUGCUUGUUCAUAGAACCACUUUCUUUAUCUUGUAGUUUUUAAUCCAAUGAUCUGAAAUGUGGCACAUCCUAUCGUUUAAAGAUGAUAGUCAUCAUCAUAAAGUUACAUGCAUAGAUAUACCAUCCUUCCAUAAAGUUGAGUAAUCUGAUCUGUCAAGUGUUUUAAUGCUAUAAGCUUGCUAAUUAUUUGUUCCUAUCACCCAUGUUUAGAUUGAGCUAAACGCAUAAACAUCUACUUUAUCUCAUUCAAUGUGCCAAAGGCUAGAGUAUAAUAAACAUCUACUUUUCUCACCAACAGAGCCCUUGAACUUGAUCUCUGCCUUGUGUCUAUAAGCAGGACACACUUUAGUCAACUCAUCGAGAAUCCUACAAGUGUAGAUCCUAGACCGAUGAUCAUACACACUGAGCGAAGAUGUUGCUAGCUCCCAGAACUAGUACUUGACUCCAACCCACUCGAAGAGCAAUAAACAUAGGUGACACCAUCUCAAGAGGUGCUCCUAUCACGGUGUUGACACCUAUUAACUUACAAAAUUUGUUAGCAUUUAUUUCUCCACCAGGUAUGAAUAUAUAGGGAUUAUUUCAAAAAGAACUGAAAAGAGGGAUUUAAGUGCUAAUGGGCCAUGAAUCUUAUCCACGACGAAGGAUGACACUAGAGGAUUCAAGAACACUCAAGAAGACACCCGACGUGAGGGGGGAGCCAAAAGCCACUAGGUGGGGCCAGCCGGCCCCACCCUAGCGCCAGCCGCCCCCCUAUGGUUAGGAUUUGCCCCUCCUUCUGGAAGCUUCCUCCACCGCCUCUGAGGAGCCAUCUUGGCUGCUUGUUAAGUCGAUUUGAUCCAACGGCGCGUGUUCAUCUGUGGCAGAACCUCCUAAGUGUUUGGGCCCACCGACACCUGUCAUUGUCCUGAGGACCUCUGACGGUGAUGCCGGGGAUCCUCCCACUCUAGAAGUCUGAUGAGCAUCUCAGGACGCUCAUUCCACCGCUACCUGUGGCGUAUCAAGCAAGCUCGUCCUGACCACUACUAAUGGUCAAUUAAUGAGAACUUCUUCUUCUCGCCCUUACAGGAUAGCAAGUGGCCACCUUAACAACAGGAUCACUUGUUGCGAAGACAUUGCAGUAUCACAAACGACAUAAGACCAAAAUAAUAUUUCAGAGUAAAGCAGCAAAAGUAUUACAUAACUUAAUUUACAAAAGUAGUUCUUUCAAAUAGUAGAGUGUUAUUACAAGCCAGGUCCAGCGGAACAACUUAAACUUUAGUACACAGAUUACAAACUUACAGACCCUGCCCAUGGGUGACGCUCACUCUUCCUCGUCGUCAACCUCGACGACGGACACACAACAGCGUCCGAAACAUGUCGGCUCCUGAACUCCACCUGCAACAGGGGUUAUAAAACCCUGAGUACGGGAGUACUCAACAAGACUUACCCAGCGGAAAAAAAGGAGAAACUAGGAAUGCAGGCUUGGGGUAGACAAGGAGUGGCUAAGCAAGGAGCCAAAUUGUUUUGCCAAAAAGCUUACUAAUAGUGCAUCCUUACUUUCAAGUUUUACCCACAAAUUCCUCUCCUUAAGAGGUCGAGGAGUUCGAGGACAGUCUAUCUAGUUGCUUCUCACAGACAAGUCUGUAAGUUUCUAAUCCUUAAUCAAAGUAUUUACUAUCCAACGGCCAUAGCUUCAUAUCACUCUGAGUCCGGGAAUUGGGAUCCGAACCUCAUGAGACAUUUCCCCCUUUCUCAUUUUAUCACUUAGUUGCAUAAUUAACUAUGAUGACGGUCAGUGGAUUGAGUCUCCCAAUCGGGGAGCAACGACGAUUCGAACCGCUUAGCAAUCCAGCUGGAGUUCCUAACCACCCGACAUAUGUAGAACCAAAUCUUGCGUAUGUCAACCCAAAUCAAGCUUUCCCCAAAUUUGACUAGGUUUGCGGCACCCGAGAGCACAGUACUCCACCAUCCUACAGCCGAUCUAGAUGUUUUCCAGUCAUCUCAGAUCCGUAAGGUGGGUACACGCUACUCUCGCCAUCGCUUCACGCCCAGUGCGCGAGUAGCUGUUCGCGUCGAGGGAUCACAAGACCGGGCUUACCGAGGGCAAGUGGCUAGUACUAUAAAUUCUCAACCCAGCGGGCCAUCAACGGACCGGUCCUUAACCUACACAGUUAGAGACACUACUUUAAGACUCCAUUCUUAAAGCAAGUCCACCGACCAGUCUCAAAUUGAAACAUCAUUGAUCAUAAAUGUAUUCCACAACAACCCUUCAAACUUUUUUGUUUGAAAACCUAUCUAGUAGCAGGGCUAAGCAUCACUACGCAAUUUUAAAAUAAAAUAGGUGUCAAGGACAGGAUGACAAAUAUUAAGGUAGUAAAUGCAGCAAGUAGGUUAACCCAAUUCUCAACUACCUAAUGUAGCAUUUUCAAUUCAUAAGUGAUAAAAGAUUUAAAACAUUGAAGGAGGGGUUAAUGCAUCCGGGGCUUGCCUUGGUUGCAGAGCGGAGAGGGACCCUCGGAGACUUCAAAAGUCUCAGAUCCUACUUCCUCGAACGGAGCACCGACCUCGAGGUUCGGUUCAACGGUCGCUCCUUCGGUCACGUGCACUAUACGCAAAGUGAUGGAUGCUCAUGAUAUGCGUAUGACAAAUAUUUAAGAAGGACCGAGUUAAGUACAACUAGCCUUCUCGGUGCAAUACAGACAAAACAAUAAUUAAAGUUGUUUAUAAUUUUGGUUUCUUUACCCAAGAGGUUGCAUCAGUAAACUAAGAUUCCUCUUAAUUCACAAUUAUCCUUAAUUAACUAAUUAUUAAUCCUUUCUACCUUAAUUAAUUAUUAAUUAAGUAUUAAUGACAGUAAUUAAGCAUUAAUACCAAACAAUAAGUAAAUGCCAAAGGUCAUUAAGGCUAAUGACCUCAGGUCAUCACACAAUUCUAAAAUCACUCAAACCCUAAUAUUGAGAAUUUAAACUAAUUAUUAUCUAAUUAUUCUAGAAUUAUUAUUUAACUACUAAUUAAGGGUUUAAUAAUAUUUUAUUCAAACAGUAUCCAAAUGCCACCAAAUUUUGUGUGAAGCCAGGGAAUAAUAUUCAGAGGCAUCCCACAAAUUUUGGUGAUUUUUGGACAUGCAAUUAAAUUAUUAAAAUUCAUAGAAGUUUUAUUUGCUAAUUAAAAUAGGCAAUUUUUAUACACAUGCAAACUACCAAAAAGUAGAAUCUAAUAUUUUUCCCAUGUUCUAUUCAUUUUAUGGAAUCUAUACAAAAAUUUCCAUGAUUUUUGAAUCGGUAUCAAAUUUUCUACACAAAAUCAAACAUACAUCACAUUUUGUAAAAAAAGAAGAAAACACUAUGCUGCGAGCGGCCCGGGAAUUCGGCACGCAGGCCAGCCCACGCGCGCUCGGCCCAAACACGCACUGCGCGCGCCCUCGCCUCCACUCACGGCAUCGCUGACAGCGGGCCCCCGCUGUCAGCUUCGUCUUCAAGCUUCGGCCGGCCAAAUCAACGGCACGACCGAGCCAUCCGCGCCAUCUCCGCUCCAUCGCGCACCUCUGGACCCCUUGAGCACUCGUUCUCUCCUAGCCUAGCCCCCGUGGCCACGGGCACGGCGGACGGCCGCGUCGGCCGGGCAAACGCCGGCCGCUACAAGCGAGUAGAACGCUAAUUGGAUGGCGUAUAAGCAUCGGUGGCUCACCGCGACUUCAGCGAAGCAAACGACGGCGGUAGAGGAGCUCGGAGCAGGCCUAGCCGCAGUGAGGUGCUCGCGGCGACGCUUUUACCGGAGUUGGGAACGAUGGCUCGGAGUGGAGCUACGGCAGGUUAGAGCUUGCGCUCGGGGGCGCAAUCAAUGGCUAAGAGCUUGGCGAAGCUAUUGGAGUGCUCGGGUGGCUUGGAAGGGAAGCAGGCGAGGUGAACUUGGGGAGCGGAGUAAGUUCGUCGGCGUUGAGUGGAAAGGAGGAAAAAUGAGGCGGCCAGGUAGUGUGGUUGCUAAGGGGAGUGGAUGAGCACGCCGGGGGCUUGUCCACUUCAUGGCGGGCUCGCGCAGCCAAGCAGCUACGUGGCUAGGCACGUGGCGGCGCGUGCGAAGGCGGCACUUGCCCGCCCUGCGGCCGCGGUGGACGGGCUCGUGAUCCUCAUCGGAUCACUGUAGCCGUCCCUUAUCCCCUCUUCUCUGUUUUUUGCAAAAUUCACCCAAAAAUUGAACUGGAGCCAAUUUUUCACCAAAAUGAAAGUUGUGCAAAAUUUUACAAGCUACAAAACUCCUUUUGGUGACCAAGGCUAAUUCUGAGUGGAAAUUGGUGAAUUUGACAAAACAGUUUGAAAUUCAAAUCUCAAUUUAGGGAAAUUCAAAUUUUUGAAUUGGGGGCAGAUCAGAAUUUCCAAAAUUACUUUUGAUUUUCUAGAACAACUUGAAAAAUUCCCAACAUGAUAGUUGUUCAACUUUUUGAGCUCUACAACUUUCAUGUUGGUCACUUUUCAAGAUUCCAAAUAGAUUUUGAAUUGGAGAUUCAAAUUGGAAAAAGAGGACACUUUCUGGAAAUCUGUAUUUUCACAAUUACUUUGAAUUUUGUAUUGAAACUUCAAAAACUCAAAACACCAAAGUUGUACAUCUUGACAAGAUCUACAACUUUGCUUUUGAACUCAACUUCAAAUUUUGCUUAGUUUUUAAAUUGCACAAAUGGGGGCAAAACAAGGCUUUUUAAAAAUCAGGGUUUAUCCCCCCCAUUUCUCUCGGAAAUCUUCCACCCUAGGAAUUAUACAACCAACACAAGCAUCACUUCACAACAUAAGCACACUUUAAUUCCGUAAGCACAAACAAUCAAAAUAAACUUGUUUUAAGUUGAUGCAUAAUAAUGUGCUUAACAGGUAUGCGAUGCAAUGCUCAUGAUGACAUGAUCCUGUUUUAGUAACCGUAACAUCAGGGAUGUUACAGCCCUUCCCCCUUAAAGAAAUCUCAUCCCCGUGAUUUAAAGCCUUAGGGUAUGUAAUGGAAAAGGAAAUUUGUCAAACUAUUUCACUUUCAACCUUUUCAUAAUACAAGAAGUUGGGGAAGACUACUUAAUCAUAAACACAUAUGUACAUUAAGUACAUGGUUUUGGCUACUCUUUUCCUUCACUAGAGUACACUUCUCAUUUAUUGGAUGUUGUCUUGAAGAGAAGCAUGGAAUUUAGGAAAAUUCUCCAUUAGAUAAUCUUCAGAUUCCCAUGUGGCUUCCUCUUGAGAGUGCUGGCUCCAUUGCACCUUGUACCACUUGGUAGUUGUUCUUCGAGUAACUCUAUCUCUUUGGUCUAAUACUCGGAUAGGGUAUUCCGCAUAAGUCAGAUCCGGUUCAAGUUCCACAUCUUCGAUAUCUUGAACUUGGUCCGGUACCCAAAGACACCUUUUCAGUUGAGACACAUGGAAUACAUUGUGUAUCCCGGAUAAUCAUUCAGGCAGUUUAAGGCGGUAAGCUACCUGUCCACAUCGGUCGAUGAUUGGAAACAGACCAAUGUAACGAGGUGCUAAUUUGCCUUUAACGCCAAAAUGAUUUACUCCUUUCAUUGGGGAUACUUUCAGAUACACAUGGUCACCUUUGGCGAACCUUAAGGGUCGACGUCUUUUAUCGGCAUAGCUUUUCUGUCGGCACUGAGCAAUCUUCAAGUUAUUUUGGAUUUGUUUAACUUUGUUCUCAGUUUCUUUCACUAAGUCAACCCCAAAGAAGCACCUUUCUCCAGGUUCUGACCAAUGUAGUGGAGUCCGACAUCGACGGCCAUAUAGUGCCUCGAAGGGAGCCAUCUUAAUACUUUCUUGGUAGCUAUUGUUGUAGGAAAACUCUGUUAGAGGCAAGCAGUCAUCCCACUUAUCUAGAAAAUUCAGGGCACAAGAUCUUAAUAGAUCUUCUAGGGUUUGAUUCACCCUUUCUGUUUGCCCACCUGUUUGAGGGUGGUAGGUUGUACUGUAUAAAAGCUUAGUGCCCAAAGAUUCAUGUAAGCAUUUCCAGAACUAGGAGACAAAUUGUGUGCCUCUAUCUGACACUAUUGUCUUUGGCACCCCAUGCAGACUUAGUAUAUGAUCAAAAUAGAUCUUAGCAUAGGUGGAGGUAGGAUAUAAUGUCUUUACAGGCAAGAAGUGUGCUGUUUUGGUGAGACGAUCCACAAUGACCCAAAUUGAAUCAAAGCCUUUGGCCGUCUUGGGCAACCCUACUAUGAAAUCCAUACUAAUAUCAUCCCAUUUCCAUGCUGGAAUAGGUAGAGGUUGCAACUCUCCAGCGGAUUUGAGAUGGAUAGCUUUGACCUUUCGGCAGGUAUCGCAUUGGGCCACAUUGCGGGCUAUUUCUAUUUUCAUUUUCGUCUACCAAAACCUUUGCUUUAGGUCCUGAUACAUUUUAUUACUCCCCAGAUGAAUAGAAUAUCUGGUAGUAUGAGCUUCAUCCAGGAUUUGCUGACGUAGCUCAGGUACCUUUGGAACCACUAACCGGUUUUUGAACCAGAUUACUCCUGCAUCAUCUACCUUAAAGUCAGUGGGUGCUCUAUUAGAAAUUUUCUCUUUAAGAUAUUUCAUGCCUUUGUCUUCCUUUUGUGCCUCUAUGAUUUGAGCUUCAAGAUUGAAAUCAAUCUUUAGAUUGGCAAGGCUUUCUUGAGAAAUCAUUUCUAUCCCCAAAUUCUCUAGCUCUUGGCACAAAGUUAUAUCUUUAGGCGUCACUGCUAAGCAAUUACAGUGAGCCUUACGACUGAGGGCAUCAGCUACUACGUUCGCCUUGCCAGGGUGAUAAUGCACCUCAAGGUCGUAAUCUUUGAUCAAUUCUAGCCACCUUUGCUGGCGCAUAUUAAGUUCAGCUUGAGUAAAGAUGUACUUCAAGCUCUUGUGAUCUGUGUAUAAGUGACAAGUAUUCCCCAACAGAUAAUGGCGCCAGAUCUUUAAUGCAUGUACUACAGCGGCUAGUUCAAGAUCAUGGGUCGGGUAAUUCUCUUCAUGUGGUUUAAGCUCUCUGGAAGCAUAUGCAAUUACUCGACCCUCCUGCAUUAGCACACAGCCUAUCCCUAUCCAUGAUGCGUCACAAUACACAUCAAAGGGUUUUUCAAUAUCUAGCUGGGCUAAGACAGGUGUAGUUGUCAAUAAUCUUUUCAGAGUCUGGAAGGCUUGCUCACAUUCAGGUGACCAAACAAAUUUUGUUUGAUUCUUGAGCAAGGUCGUGAUUGGUUUAGCGACUCUUGAAAAGUCCGGGAUAAAGCGACGGUAAUAUCCCGCCAUACCUAGAAAACUACGGACCUCAUGUACCGUAGUCGGGGCUUCCAAUUCAACACAUCUUCUACUUUACCUGGGUCUACAGCCACUCCCUCCGCUGAUAAUACAUGACCCAGGAAAUGGACUUUGUCUAGCCAGAACUCACAUUUGCUGAACUUGGCAUAUAGUUGAUGCUCCCUAAGACGGGUCUGCACAAUUCUCAUAUGUUCAGCAUGUUUUUUCUUAGUUUUGGAAUAGAUCAAAAUGUCAUCAAUGAUGACGACCACGAUUUUGUCCACCUCUGGCAUGAAGACAGAGUUCAUCAAGUACAUGAAAUGGGUCGGUGCAUUGGUCAACCCAAAAGACAUCACCAAGUAUUCGUACAGCCCAUAACGGGUUGUAAGAGCCGUUUUGGGUACAUCCUCCGGCCUGAUUUUGAUUUGAGGGUACCCUGAUCUCAAAUCAAUCUUUGAGAAUACUUUGGCCUCGGCUAACUGGUCAAAUAGUAAGUCAAUACGGGGCAAUGGGUACUUGUUCUUAAUCGUCACCUCAUUCAGGGGACGAUAAUCGACACACAGUCUUAAUGUUUGAUCUUUCUUUUUCACAAAUAAGGCUGGGCAACCGCAUGGAGAGGAACUGGGCUGAAUAAAACCUUUUUGCAACAACUCUUGUAGUUGGGUUUUUAAUUCGGCCAGUUCUUUCGGUGCCAUUCGGUAGGCCCUUUGAGAUAUUGGGGCUGUCCCUGGUUUCAAUUCUGUACUGAACUGGACAUCCCGGUCCGGUGGCAGACCAGGUAGAUCAUCAGGAAACACGUCCGGAAAAUCUCGAACCACCGGGAUAUUUUUGACUACAGCCACAUUAGUGGCAUGAACCUGCCCAAUUGCCCGUUUGGGAGUAGCUAACUGGAUUAGAAGGUAAGAAUUCUCAUUGGGCAAGGGCAUCUUAAUGCUUCGAUGUAAGGUGUCUGGCACAACCCCUCGUUGUGCCAUCCAGUUCAUGCCUAGUAUGACAUCAAUCUCCUGGUCUUUAAGAACAAUCAUGCUAGUGGGAAAGCUAUGCCCACCAAAUUCGAUGGGUAUCCGUUGAAAAAUUUCUUUAGAACUCAGCCGUCCCCCUGGCGACUGUAUAUAAAAAUGAUCUUGUGUUUCUCCAAUGGGUAUGGCAUGCUUCAUCACAAAGGUGCGGUUGAUGAAUGUAUGAGAUGCACCAGAAUCUAAAAGCAUUAAGGCAGGAUGUUUCGCAACAGGAAACGUACCCAUCAUUACCGGUUCUCCUUCCGGUAUUGUCUCCACCUCUGUAUGGAAGACUUGUCCCACUUUCUUGGCUGGCUUACCCCCUUUGCAUAUUUUGUCCUUUUUGAGCCCCAAUUUUGAAUUGGCUCGGCUGGGGUUGGCCAAUGGGUGGCCUUUAGAAAGUGGGGUUGGUUUGGCGGGGGUACGGUCAUUCGUUAGAAAAAUGCCCAGGCUUACCAAAAUUGAAACAAGGAUAAUUGUGGUUGGGCGGAGCAGUGGGACGAACACCUGGGGCGUUCGGCUGGCGUGGUGCAGUGGCGAUGGCAGUAGGUCGAGGAUAUACCUGCUGCCCGGGUCUAUAUUGUGGAGGGGGAAAAGGACCACGAUAAGGUGACGGCGCUUGAAAGCGUCCGUGGCCCUAUGGAUGAUAAAUGAUUCUCUGGCGCUUUUGACCGCGACCAGAGAAGGAGGAAGAAGCGGCCUUCUUGGCUUCUUUGUGUUUUCUAUUCUUUUCUUCUGAGGCGAUGGCAAUAUUUACCUCCUCGUAGAAAGUAGCAUUCUGACACGUGGUCAUCAUGGUCUGGAGUUUGGUAUUGCGACCACGCAUGAAACAGGCCUUCUUCUUUCUAUCCGUGUUCACAUGAUCCAUGGCAUACUGAGAAAGAUGAUUAAAUUUUGCCACGUACUCCAUCACACUCUUAUCGCCUUGCUGCAAGGCGAGAAAUUCUUCGGCCUUCAUGGCCAUAAGCCCCUCGGGGAUAUAGUGGGCGCGGAACGCGUCGUUAAAUUCUGUCCAGGUGACCUGGUGUCCUGGACCUUGGAUAGCUAAGAAGUUCUCCCACCAGGCACCCGCAGCUCCCCGAAGCUGUUGAGCUACGAACAGGGGCUUCUGAGUUUCCGAACAUCGGAUCAGACUGAACUUGUGCUCCAUGGUCCGGAGCCAGUCGUCGGCCUCUAACGGCUCAUCAGCCUUGGUGAAUACCGGGGGCCUUGUCUCGGUAAAGUCCACGUACCGAGUUUCUCCCUCCCCAUUGUGCUGUGCUCUGAAGUUUGGGGCGGGGGUGUGGUUGGCGUUGUGCUAACUCGCGCAACAAGCGAGCGUUGUCGGUAGUGGCACUCAAAAGAACAGCAAUGGCGUCUGCCAGGGAGGGUGGAGCAGGUGGAGGGUUGGGGAUAUCAUCCCCUCCCUGAGAGGACCCGGCUCCAUCAGAUCCACGAGUACGCAUCGGCAUCUGCUACAAGAAUCAUAGGUACUUGUUACCACAUGGAAUCCAUAACUUAAGACAUAUCUUACAUACUUCCAUUUAUUUAUCAAACAUCAGUUCAACACACUGGAAACAAACGAGUACAACUUCUUAAACUGAAAGAAAAAUCUAUACUACAGACUCGACCCCACUACGGUAGACUAGGAAUCCUUCAACGACAUUGCCUGCGACUUCACCGAACUAGUCGGUGUGGUCAGAGCCGUAGUCCGGGUCGUCAUUGUCAUCGUCAUGGUUACCCCCCGAGUUACUGAGGUCUUGGUCGGGUUCCCCAUCAUCCACCAACACUCCGUCCGUGUCCAUCUCCCCUUAACCUGGAGGUGGAUGGAGCUGAUGAUAUAGGUCGAAUGCAAUAUCACGGUACUGCAUCGCCAAGUCGUUGACGGUAUCUAGAUGAUGUGCCAGCUCGAGCUUCUCCAGCUGUAGUUGGUCUUCCCGCUGCCACGCGACAUCCCUCUGCGCGGUGACAGUGGCCGCCAUCUUCACGUACAGGUCUUUAAUAUACUUGGUUUUGUCCAGCUUAGCCUUCAGUCUGGUCAGCUCGUGCCUGUGUGCGCUCCUGGCCUCCUCUUCUCGGGCAAUAGCGGCAUUCCUUUCUUCCACCAUACGGGACAGCAUCGCCUCGCAGUUCUCGGUGGCUUGUUCUUGUUUUGUUAGUUGAGCUUUAAGUUCGCCAAUCUCCAUGACAUUGUACAUCCUUUCUCUCGUCACUUCAGUUAGCUCGGCGGACAACCUUUUGUUGACACCGUUUUUGGGCACGUGUCUGGGAUGGCAGGAUAAGGUGGCAGUACGACGUUUACAAAGUGGGUUACCGAUGAGGAUGGUUGCCGAUGAGGGAGAGGUUGAACGUGAUUAAGUCCACAGGCAGUAAUAUGGUGCCGAUGUCUAGAUAAGAAAGUCUGCCGAUGACUAUGGCAAAGGGUCUGCCGAUGAUGCAAAGAGGGAGUCCGGAAGCUGCCGGUCGUUAUGUGGAGGAGUUUCAGUUUGUCACGAGGGGUAGUUUUGUUAUUUCCUUAAUUAUUUGCAUCGUUUUGUAUACGGAUUCCGUGUAAUUUGGAAUUCGAAUUCUAAUCGUGUCUGGUUGUAGCUCUUUGAGCAGGGUAUAAAUGUAGACCCUAGGGCCUUGUAAUAGAUCAUCAAUCAAGAAAUCAAUCAAACACACGUUUUUACUCAUAUUCCAACAUCUACUUUUCGACGACUUCGUCACACUUUUUCCUUUUAUUACGAGUUCUUAGGAAUUCGCCGACUUAAGCUCGGCGUGUUCUCGAGUUCCGCGUGAGUACCUCUUAGCCGUGACAUCCGGGCGCAUCGCUGUUGUCAGGACUAAAGUAUUCGAGUUAUCACCUUUGCCGAUAGUAAGGUCAAAUCGGCUGGCAUGCCUUAACGCUUGAAUCGGGUAUUAGCCCUUUGUGUUUGCAGACCAGUUUUGCAUCAACACAUCUUUUGGCACGCCCGGUGGGACCAGAUUCAAGAUCAAGAUCAACAUGUCGAUCUCUGACCUCGAUCAAGAGAACGUCAUCCCCGUGACGGAGGCCAACCUCAAGGAUGAGCAGAAGCAAGCUAUUGCCCAAGCCAUGGAAGAGUUCAAGCAGCAAUGCCUGAGGCCUUUCAGCAUAAACAGGAGCGGCGAAGUGGUCCAGAAAGAUGCACUGCCGGCACCGCGGCAGGUUACCUUUGACGCCAAUCCUGGCAAGCUUCAAGAUAUGGUUGACAAUGCCAUCAAUCGAGCGUUGAUUAACCAAGCUGGUGUACUGUCUAAUACGGUUUUCAAUGCCGUGGCAAGAACUUUCAAGGAAGGACAAAUCCCACCAGAUUAUGUGGGCCCCUCCCAUCAUCAGCCAACGGCACCAGAGGUCACGGCUCCAUCGGCUGCCUUGACGAAUGCAAGUGCACAAUCUGCCGUCCCUCCAAGUACAUUGGGGACUACUGGUGCACUAUCUAUGCCGAUGGCAACCAACCCACAAAUUUCAGUUGGGCAGCAUAAACUGACAACAGAUAUGUUGGCAUCGGCAAUGUCAGGGUUGACUCUUCCUCCCAACUGGUGGGGAUACGGUAUGCCUCCAGAGUUGACGCCGGGAACAUCACAAAUAACUGACAUGAGGGGCAAAACUCCUAUGACAUCGGCACCUCCCAAUGCGCCGGUGAACCAGAGUCCUCGGUAUACCACAACUACUACUGCGAGGCCUCACACUGGAAAUCCUCAAGAUUCAAUGUUCCAGAUGCCCAACGCAUCGGCAGAGUCAAUGCUGAUGCAACAGAGGCCUAUGGCCCAGUCGGGGUAUGUCAAUUCAACGACGGUACCCAAUUACCAAUCAUCGGCAGCACCUAUGCCGAUGAACGCUAAUAAUGGAUGGCUUGGACAGCAAGCCUUUCCACAAUCGCCCCAGCAGAGUUACCAGACUACGGGGUUCCAGCAAGGGCAGGUCUAUCCCGGGUUCCAAGGUCAGGGGAUUCCCAAACAGCCAAUGAAUUUUGGACAACAACUCGGAGGACAGCCAAUCGGUGGACAGCAGCUUGGUGGUCCGCAGAUUGGAGGACAGGUGAUCAAUACAAUGUUCCGUGCAGAACACGUCCCGAACAGACACGUGGAGGUUCGCCACCAAGUGCCAGAUCCGCAGCCGCCUCAUCGGCAAGAUGCCGAUGCAUAUUGGGCCGAUAAGAUUGCUGAAGUAAUGAGGGAACAAUUUGGGAUAAAACCCAAAGUCAACACUUAUUCUUAUCGGACACCGUAUCCUCCCGCGUAUGAUUUGAUCCCGCUUCCACAUCGGUACAAGGUACCGGAUUUUACAAAGUUUUCCGGACAGGACGACACGUCAACCAUGGAGCAUGUCAACAGGUUCAUUAUUCAAUGUGGAGAGGCCGGUAACAGGGACGAAUUGAGGGUUCGUCUAUUUUCAUCAUCAUUGUCUGGAUCGGCCUUUACUUGGUUCAUAUCGUUACCUCCCAACUCAGUAAUUACUUGGGCCGAUCUAGAGAAGCAAUUCCACAAAUACUUCUUCUCGGGGGUUCAUGAGAAGAAGAUCACCGACUUGGUCAAGUUGAGGCAACGUAAUGAUGAGUCGGUUGAGGGAUUUGUGCAGAGGAUACGAGAGGUCAAGAAUAAAUGCUAUAGCGUGGUUCUGGAUGAUCGGCAGCUAGCCGAUUUGGCUUUCCAGGGUUUGUUGCCACAUAUCAGGGAUAAGUAUGCCUCUCAGGAGUUCGAAAGUUUAAGUCAUUUGGUGCAGAGGAUUUCUGAUCAAGACAUCAAGCCUUUUGAGCCUAAGAGAGCAUGGAAUAAGAAAGUGUCAUUUGUCGAUGAAGCAACAAGCUCAGAUUCUGAUGAAGAACCAGUAAUCGGUUUGGCAGAGUGGGUAAAAAACAAGAAGCCGAUGUCUUGUCCUUUUGGACAGAAGGAACCAGAGAAGUUUGCUUUUGACACCGCUAAGGCCGAUAGGAUAUUUGACUUUCUACUUCAGGAAGGUCAGAUCAAACUGUCACCUAACCAUGUGAUCCCAUCGGCAGAAGAGUUGAAGAGGAUGAGAUAUUGCAAGUGGCAUAAUGCAACUUCCCAUGACACCAACGAGUGCAAAGUAUUCAGACAGCAGCUGCAAUCGGCUAUAGAGUCAGGGAAAAUCAAGUUUGACAGUUCCAAAGCCCAGAAGCCGAUGAAGAUAGACCAACAUCCUUUCCCGACAAACAUGUUGGAUGCUAAGGGGAAGGCUAAGGUCUUAACAUCGGAGACAGCUGAGAAGAGUGCAUCGGUAGAUCCUCAGCAUCAAGUUACUACUGCCGAUGCAAGAAGUAAGGGCUUGGUCCAGGAAGGAACUAGCUCAGGAAGGCUUCCUCGAUCUGGUAUCGUCAUAACUCAUAGAAGGCCUCGAGAAAAAUGGCAACAACGGGAAGAUCGGUAUCGGGGCCAGCAGGAAGAUUAUCAACGGGAAGAAGAAAGACGCCGACAGGAGUGGAAUCGGCACAGGGAUCAUUGGAAUUGUCCCUUCUUCAUCCAUUGUUGGGAGGAGAAUAUCAAGCUUCCUACUGUCAGAAACUGCCCUGAGUGCAACGGUUAUGAUCGGUACGAUAGGAUCGAUCGGCAUUAUCAUAAUGAUGAACGGCGAUUUAAUGGGCCGAUCAGAGGAAGGGUGUCAGUUCAUGACCGGCUGGGGGGCAGAUAUAGCGGGCACGACAGACUUAGUGACCGUGUCCAGUAUUUUCCCAGGAACCAAGAAGAGCUCGAGGGAAUGGCUGAUGCGCGGGUUCCCGAUGAAUUCAUAUUUUGCAGGGAUGCUAACACGCAUCGUAUGGAGUCAAGGGAGAACCGACGCCCGACGGCAAGGCAAAGGCCACUUCCUCCAUGGUGCCUGGAGGAUUAACCAAGACACAGAAAAGGAGAUUACAACGUGAAAGGCAAGAAGAGCUAAACAAGGGAGAGAACCCUGGAAGUCGGCAGCCAUCAGACACUAAGAGGGAAGGUCCAUCGGCAGGCGUCAACAUGGUCUUCAUGUUGCCGAUGGAGUUUCUUGCACCAGCCAGUGAUGAUGAGUUGGAAUUUUCUGAUCAGAUAGCUCAGUUGGCUCUAGAUCCGAUGACGGCUAUCUUUGAGAAACCUGCCGAUGACGAGAGGCAGCAUCUUAAAGCUCUGUUCCUCAAAGGAAGGGUUGAUGGGCAGCCAAUGACCAAGAUCCUAGUUGAUGGUGGAGCUGCUAUUAAUAUUAUGCCGUACGCAGUACAUCGGAAGCUUGGGAAAGGGGAUCAAGAUUUGACCAAGACCGAUAUGAUGCUCAAAGACUUUGAAGGAAACGUGUCUCCAGUCAAGGGGGCGAUAUGUGCAGAGUUGACCAUCGGCAGCAAAACCUUGCCGACAACUUUUUUCGUGAUCAGCGGAAAAGGUGCUUACAACUUAUUAUUGGGAAGAGAUUGGAUUCAUGCCAAUUGCUGUAUCCCAUCUACAAUGCAUCAGUGCUUGGUUUAGUGGGUAGGUGACAAGAUUGAGAUUGUCCCAGGAGACUCUUCUUAUGUUAUCGCAUCAGCAGAAGCGGAUACUUACGAAAGGACCAGGUGCAUUUCAGGAGAAGUUUGGGAGAAAGAUUUUCUCAAAGUUGCCGAUUAUGAGAUUCCACCGAUCCAAGCAGUCGGUUCUGACGACGGUUUUUAAUGGAUAGAUUCGCCGAUGAUGGGAAAUUAGGCCAGGGAUUCACAUCGGCCGAUGAUUUGGUAGAAGUAGAUAUAGGUAGUGGUGAUAAGCCUAGGCCUACUUUCAUUAGUGCUAAAUUAGAUCCUGAGAGUAAGCAACAAUUGACUAGUUUGUUAAAGGAAUAUAAAGAUUGCUUUGCUUGGGAUUAUACUGAGAUGCCUGGUCUAGACCGAUCAAUUGUUGAACAUCGGUUACCCAUCAAGUCUGGAUUUCGGCCACAUCAGCAACCAGCCCGCCGAUGUAAUCCUAACAUUCUACCUGAUAUUAAGGCCGAAAUCACUAAACUUAUUGAAGCUAAGUUUAUUCGGCAGUGUCGGUAUGCCGAAUGGAUUUCCAAUGUUGUUCCGGUUUACAAGAAGAACGGGAAGCUUCGAGUGUGCAUUGAUUUCAGGAAUCUCAAUAAAGUUACGCCGAUGGAUGGAUACCCAAUGCCUGUCGCCGAUCUACUGGUUGAUGCUGCGGCUGGUCAUCGGGUCAUCAGCUUCAUGGAUGGUAAUGCAGGUUACAAUCAAAUAUUCAUGGCGGAGGAGGAUAUUCCAAAAACCGCAUUCAGGUGUCCUGGUCAUGUUGGGCUAUUUGAAUGGAUAGUCAUGACUUUUGGGUUGAAGAAUGAUGGUGCUACUUAUCAAAGGGCUAUGAAUUUUAUAUUUCAUGAGUUCAUCGGCAAGCUCGUAGAGAUUUAUAUUGAUGAUGUGGUAGUUAAGUCUGGAGAUUUCUCAAAGCAUCUUGCCGAUUUACAAAAAGUGUUAGAGUGCACAAGGAAGCAUGGAUUGAAGAUGAAUCCCAACAAGUGUGCAUUUGGUGUAUCGGCAGGACAGUUUCUUGGUUUCAUGGUACAUCAGAGGGGUAUUGAAAUUAGUCGAAGAUCUAUUGAUGCCAUCAAUAAAAUAGUGGCCCCUACCAACAAAACGGAGCUCCAAUCCUUGAUCGGCAAGGUAAAUUUUAUCAGGAGAUUUAUAUCGAAUUUGUCUGGUAGGAUUCGUGCUUUCAGUCCUCUUCUUAAAUUGAAAGCCGAUCAAGAGUUUAUUUGGGGAGAAGAACAGCAGUUGGCUCUCGAUGAAAUCAAGAAGUAUCUAGUAAAUCCUCCAGUUCUAGUUCCACCUCAACAAGGGAAGCCCUUCAGAUUGUAUUUAUCUACCGAUGGAUUGGUUAUCGGUUCAGCUUUAGUUCAAGAAUUUGAAGGGAAAGAAAGGGUAAUUUAUUAUUUGAGUAGGAGGUUGAUUGAUGCUGAAACCAGGUAUUCGGCCAUUGAGAAACUAUGCUUAUGCUUAUAUUUUUCAUGUAUCAAGCUGAGACAUUACCUGUUAUCGGCCGAAUGCACUGUUGUUUGCAAAGAUGACGUGGUCCGAUACAUGCUAUCUAUGCCGAUUAUGAGUGGUAGGAUCGGUAAAUGGAUUUUAGCGCUGUCGGAGUUCGAUUUGCGUUACGAAUUGGCUAAGGCAAUCAAAGGGCAAAUUAUGGCCAAUUUUGUGACUCAGCAUUGCGGUCUAGUGGAAACCUUGGAAAUUGUACCCUGGACGCUCUUCUUUGAUGGAUCUACCUGUGACCGGGGGGCAGGAAUCGGCAUUGUAUUAGUUUCCCCUAAGGGGAGGAAGUAUGAGUUUUCCUUGCCGAUUGUUUCCACAUCAACAAAUAAUCAGGCUGAGUAUCAAGCUCUGAUCAAGGGAUUGGAGUUGUUAAGAGAAGUUCGUGCUGAUGCUGUUGAAAUAUUCGGGGAUUCUAUGUUGGUUAUAAAUCAAUUGGCCGGAAGCUAUGAAUGCCGAAGUGAAGUUCUCAUAACUUAUUUCGAGAGAAGUAUGCAACUAUUAAAGGAAUUCAAGGAUUUCCGAUUGGAGCAUGUUCCCCGAUUGCAUAAUGAAGACGCUAAUCGGUUAGCUCAGCAUGCCUCGGGAUAUCAGCCAAUGAUUAAUGCGACAUCGGCAGUCGGUGCCGGUGAUUGGAGGGAAGAAAUUAUUGAUUAUCUAACAGAUCCAUCCAAAAAAGUUGAAAGACGGGUUCGAUUUCAAGCAACCAAGUAUGCGCUCCUUGAAAAUGAAUUGUAUUAUCGAAUUAUCGACAGAAUUCUUCUCCGAUGCUUGGGUGAUGAUGAAGCUAGAGGUUUGAUGGGGGAAAUCCAUGAAGGAGUGUGUGGAGCGCAUCAGUCAGCUUUUAAGAUGAAGUGGAUGAUUCGAAGGAAUGGAUAUUUUUGGCCGACCAUACUUGAAGAUUGUUUUAAAUAUUUCAAGGGAUGUCAAGGUUGUCAAAAGUUUGGUAAUAUCCAGAGAGCACCCGCAUCGGCUAUGAAUCCUAUAAUAAAGCCUUGGCCGUUCCGGGGAUGGGCCAUCGAUCUGAUCGGCCAGAUUUAUCCACCAUCUAGCAAAGGGCAUAAGUUUAUUCUAGUUGCCACUGACUAUUUCACUAAGUGGGUUGAAGCUAUUCCUUUGAAGAAAGUCACAUCGGCCAAUAUGAUUGAUUUUGUGAAGGAGCAUAUUGUUUACCGAUUUGGGAUUCCCCAAACGAUUACUACCGAUCAGGGCACCAUGUUCACAUCGGGGGAGUUCGAUGAAUUCGCAAUCGGUAUGGGAAUUAAAGUGUUGAAUUCUUCUCCUUAUUAUGCUCAAGCCAAUGGGCAGGCCGAAGCGUCUAACAAAGGAAUUAUCAAGCUUAUUAAACGAAAGAUUGAAGAAAAUCCUAGGCGGUGGCAUACAUUAUUAAAUGAAGCAUUAUGGUCUUAUCGGAUGGCUUGUCAUGGAUCGACCAAGGUAUCACCCUAUCAAUUGGUGUAUGGACAUGAUGCAGUGUUGCCUUGGGAAAUUAAGGCUGGAUCUAGGCGAUUAUCUUUUCAAGAUCAAUUAACUUCCGACGAUUAUGCCACUUUGAUGACCGAUGAAUUGGAUGAUCUAGCAGGGCAUCGGUUAAAAGCUUUAAUGAGUAUAGAAGAAAAUAAGAAGAGAGUUGCUAGAUGGUAUGCUAAGAAAGUGAAGGCUAAAGAGUUUGCCGAUGGGGAUUUGGUAUGGAAAGUAAUUUUACCAAUUGGGACCAAAAGUUCGAAGUUUGGAAAGUGGUCUCCUAAUUGGGAGGGUCCUUAUCGGAUAAGUCGAUCGGCUCCUGGUAAUGCCUACAUUCUAGAAACCCUCGAAGGAAUUGAAUUUCCCAAAGCAUUAAACGGCAAAUAUUUAAAGAAGUACUACCCCAGUAUAUGGGUCGAUGCAUAGAAGAUUAGGUGCCGAUAACACUCCUAUCGGCUGGAUCCAAAUGCUUGGGGACAAGACUUGGUGUUUCAAAAGUUUAGGCGCCGAUAACAGUCCUAUCGGCUAGACUAAAAGCUGAGGAUACAAUGCCGAUGGAAACUCUAUGUGUUAAGCAGCGUCUGGAUUGCCGAUAUAGCGCGUAGCCGAAUUUGGUUGGCUGCUUCUAUCUCCUUGAUGUCAUCAUCGGCAGAACCUUCUAUCGGCUUCAGCUUCUUCUUCAGUUGGAGUGCUUUGCGACCAUGAGCAUUUCGCUCGCGCUCAAGAAGCCUGAUGGUCUCUGGCAAUUGGCUCUCUUCCUGUUGGGCUUGGGACAGAGCGUUCUCUACUUCCUUGAGCUCCGCCAACAGAGACUCUUUUCUUGCCGAUAGAUCGGAUAUCUUCUGCUUCAGCGCGUCUCCAGAAGAUCUCAGGAUACCGAUGUUCUUGUGCUUCUCAUCGGUCAAAAGCUUCUCUUUCCUCAUUUCAUCGGAGAGUUGAGUCUGAGCGGCUCUAUCGGCAAGCCGCCGAGAAGCUCUUUGGUACUGCAGCUGGCGACUCUCCAGAUGAGCGGCUUGGAACAGGAUUUCUUCAACAUCGGCUGGGAUUUGUCCUCUGAGAGUUCUGAACAGGGUCUUGGUAGGGUCGGAAUCAUCAACCAAUUGCGCUGUGUUCUGGUGAAGGAGAGCUGACAAUUCUUCCAGCCUGACCCUGACCUCUGCCGAUGUGAUGCCGACCGUCUGAGAAGUGCUUGCUUCUUCACCUUCUUCUUCAGAGAAAUCGAUGGCGAAGGAGAACAGGCUAUCGGGAGAAUCUUGUUCGUGGGAGGGAAAGCAAAAUUAGCUCAUACUUAGAGAAUCGGCAAAUAGUGCUAACGGUAAACGGUGACUUACUUGCUUCAAGGUGAUCUCUUGUCUGUGACUGAGAAGUGCUGAUGGAGCUGCAGGCUGAUCGGCCAAAGAUGCCGAUGGAGCUGCAGGUUGAUCGGCUGAGAUUGCCGAUGGAACAAUAUCAACUGAAAGAAGACAAAAGGAGUUAUGAGACUAGAUAAGAAUAAGUUCAUCGGUAGCGAUAUUGUUAAAGUAUGUUACCUGGAGGAGGGACAACGGUUGUCUGAACCGGGAGAACUGCCGAUGGUAUAACUGGACCCACCGGGCCAGUUGUUUGUUCACCCAUGUCAACUGAUGUAUCUUCUGUUUGAGAUCCUUCCUGUUGGGGUUCUUCUGUCUGUGGUGCUUCCCGCAUAGGUGGGGGAGAUGGUGCUUGCUGUGGCUGGGCUUCUGGAGAAGAAGGAGAAGAUUCCACCGGAAUUGGAGAUACCGGAGGAGGAGGGGGGAUUGCUACCUUCUGGCGCUUUGUUCCAGUCUUAGCACCCGUGGUGCCCUUUCUCUUGGGUUGGCUAGACUGGGGGGCAUCGGUACUCUCACGCCUAGUUUUCGCCGAUGCGCCGGUUUGCUGCAAUAAUGAACAAGAGUUUAUAAGCAUAAAUAUAGCCGAUAUAAAGAUGGUCAGCAUAAAGGAAAAGAUUUGACAAAUUGCCUUGAAAGCCCGCGCGAGAGUGGGAGCAGCUACCGUUGGUGAUGUCUGGGUUCUUCUGGUGGUGACUUUCCUGAGACGUACACCCCGAUGCACGAUGGAAGCUAGAGUAGGAGCAUUGUGGCCGAUUGAGGAAAUCGGGCCUGCCGUUUGUGCGAAUAUCCUGGUCAGAACAUCGGCAGAUCUUUGUAACAGUAUUGUUGCCGAUGUACGGGUGAGAAAAAUGCCCGUGUAGAAAGUUGGGGAUUUCGAGAAAUCUGCGGAGGAAUAGGAUCAGAGUUGUUCAGAUUGAGGUUGUCGGUUACCAGAUUAGGAGCAUUAAUUGCGGGAAAAGGCAUCAUUACUGCAGAGAAUUUCGGAGCAUUAAUAGUUUUAUACUCCGAAACUGAGGGGCAUGUGUUGACACCGUUUUUGGGCACGUGUCUGGGAUGGCAGGAUAAGGUGGCAGUACGAUGUUUACAAAGUGGGUUGCCGAUGAGGAUGGUUGCCGAUGAGGGAGAGGUUGAACGUGAUUAAGUCCACAGGCAGUAAUAUGGUGCCGAUGGCUAGAUAAGAAAGUCUGCCGAUGACUAUGGCAAAGGGUCUGCCGAUGAUGCAAAGAGGGAGUCCGGAAGCUGUCGGUCGUUAUGUGGAGGAGUUUCAGUUUGUCACGAGGGAUAGUUUUGUUAUUUCCUUAAUUAUUUGCAUCGUUUUGUAUACAGAUUCCGUGUAAUUUGGAAUUCGAAUUCUAAUCGUGUCUGGUUGUAGCUCUUUGAGCAGGGUAUAAAUGUAGACCCUAGGGCCUUGUAAUAGAUCAUCAAUCAAGAAAUCAAUCAAACACACGUUUUUACUCAUAUUCCAGCAUCUACUUUUCGACGACUUUGUCACACUUUUUCCUUUUAUUACGAGUUCUUAGGAAUUCGCCGACUUAAGCUCGGCGUGUUCUCGAGUUCCGCGUGAGUACCUCUUAGCCGUGACAUCCGGGCGCAUCGCUGUUGUCAGGACUAAAGUAUUCGAGUUAUCACCUUUGCCGAUAGUAAGGUCAAAUCGGCUGGCACGCCUUAACGCUUGAAUCGGGUAUUAGCCCUUUGUGUUUGCAGACCAGUUUUGCAUCAACACCUUUCCACCUCCUGCUGAGAUGGUGAACGGCUACUGCUUGCUUGAUCGCUUCGCGGGGCCAACUGGUGUCUAGGGACCCCUUUUAGACCAGUCCUCUUGCGCGGAGUCUGCUUCCAAUGGCCCAUCAUGUAGAGGGUAAGUUUGGAUUAGUAGGGAGACCUUAAAGGUUAGCAAGAAUGGGAUUGAUUCUAUACAACCCAACCCAAACAAGGAGGAAGGAACUUAACCAAGUGAUAUAUCGUGAUGCAUGCACGAACUUACGAAUCGUACUAGAAAUUCGUAACAAUAUUACUUAAAAACUUUACAACAUAGGGCAAUACUUUAUGUUGCUCCUCCACACCACUUCAAAAAUUCUAACAAGCCUACAGACAGGGGUAAGAUAGGACUAAAGCACUUGGACUCAAAUUAGGCAAGUUUACAGUAUUGGAUCCAAAUGGUUUUGAAGUUUUUCAAAGGAUACAACAGUCAUCUUAGUAGCGAAUGCUCUGAUACCAGCUGUGGCAGAACCUCCUAAGUGUUUGGGCCCACCGACACCAGUCAUUGUCCUGAGGACCUCUGACGGUGAUGCCGGGGAUCCUCCCACUCUAGAAGUCCGAUGAGCAUCUCAGGACGCUCAUUCCACCGCUACCUGUGGCGUAUCAAGCAAGCUCGUCCUGACCACUACUGAUGGUCAAUUAACGAGAACUUCUUCUUCUCGCCCUUACAGGAUAGCAAGUGGCCACCUUAACACCAGGAUCACUCGUUGCGAAGACAUUGCAGUAUCACAAACGACAUAAGACCAAAAUAAUAUUUCAGAGUAAAGCAGCGGAAGUAUUACAUAACUUAAUUUACAAAAGUAGUUCUUCCAAAUAGUAGAGUGUUAUUACAAGCCAGGUCCAGCGGAGCAACUUAAACUUUAGUACACAGAUUACAAACAUACAGACCCUGCCCAUGGGUCACGCUCACUCUUCCUCGUCGUCAACCUCGACGACGGACACACAACAGGGUCAGAAACAUGUCGUCUCCUGAACUUCACCUGCAACAGGGGUUAUAAAACCCUGAGUACGGGAGUACUCAACAAGACUUACCCGGCGGAAAAAAAAGGAGAAAUUAGGUAUGCAGGCUUGGGGUAGACAAGGAGUGGCUGAGCAAGGAGUCAAAUUGUUUUGCUAAAAAGCUUACUAAUAGUGCAUCCUUACUUUCAAGUUUUACCCACGAAUUCCUCAACUUAAGAGGUCGAGGAGUUCGAGGACAGUCUAUCUAGUUGCUUCUCACAGACAAGUCUAUAAGUUUCUAAUCCUUAAUCAAAGUAUUUACUAUCCAACGGCCAUAGCUUCAUGUCACUCUGAGUCCGGGAAUUGGGAUCCGAACCUCAUGAGACAUUUCCCCCUUUCUCAUUUUAUCACUUAGUUGCAUAAUUAACUACGAUGAGGGUCAGUGGAUUGAGUCUCCUAAUCGUGGAGCAACGACGAUUCUAACCGCUUAGCAAUCCAGCUGGAGUUCCUAACCACCCGACUUAUGUAGAACCAAAUCUUGCAAAUGUCAAUCCAACUCAAGCUUUCCCCAAAUUUGACUAGGUUCGCGGCACCCGAGAGCACAGUACUCCACCAUCCUACAGCCGAUCUAGAUGUUUUCCGGUCAUCUUAGAUCCGUAAGGUGGGUACACGCUACUCUCGCCAUCGCUCCACGCCCAGUGCCCGAGUAGCUAUUCGCGUCGAGGGAUCACAACACCGGGCUAACCGAGGGCAAGUGGCUAGUACUAUAAAUUCUCAACCUAGCGGGCCAUCAACGGACCGGUCCUUAACUGACACAGUUGGAGACACUACUUUAAGACUCCAUUCUUAAAGCAAGUCCACCAACCGGUCUCAAAUUGAAACUUCAUUGAUCAUAAAUGUAUUCCACAACAACCCUUCAAACUUUCUUGUUUGAAAACCUAUCUAGUAGCAGGGCUAAGCAUCACUAUGCAGUUUUAAAAUAAAAUAGGUGUCAAGGACAGGAUAACAAAUAUCAAGGAAUAUCAAGGUAGUAAAUGUAGCAAGUAGGUUAACCUAAUUCUCAACUACCUAAUGUAGCAUUUUCAAUUCAUAAGUGAUAAAAGAUUUAAAACAUUCAAGGAGGGGUUAAUGCAUCCGGGGCUUGCCUUGGUUGCAGAGCGGAGAGGGACCCUCGGAGACUUCCCAAGUAUCGGAUCCUACUUCCUCGAACGGAGCACCGACCUCGGGGUUCGGUUCAAUGGUCGCUCCUUCGGUCACGUGCACUAUACGCAAAGUGAUGGAUGCUCAUGAUAUGCGUAUGACAAAUAUUUAAGAAGGACCGAGUUAAGUACAACUGGCCUUCUCGAUGCAGUACAGACUAAACAAUAAUUAAAGUUGUUUAUCAUUUUAGUUUCUUUACCCAAGAGGUUGCAUCAGUAAACUAAGACUCCUCUUAAUUCACAAUUAUCCUUAAUUAAGUAAUUAUUAAUCCUUUCUACCUUAAUUAAUUCUUAAUUAAGUAUUAAUGACAGUAAUUAAGCAUUAAUACCAAACAAUAAUUAAAUGCCAAAGGUCAAUAAGGCUAAUGACCUCAGGUCAUCACACAAUUCUAAAAUCACUCAAACCCUAAUAUUGAGAAUUUAAACUAAUUAUUAUCUAAUUAUUCUAGAAUUAUUAUUUAACUACUAAUUAAGGGUUUAAUAAUAUUUUAUUCAAACAGUAUCCAAAUGCCACCAAAUUUUGUGUGAAGCCAGGGAAUAAUAUUCAGAGGCAUCCCACAAAUUUUGGUGAUUUUUGGACAUGCAAUUAAAUUAUUAAAAUUCAUAGAAGUUUUAUUUGCUAAUUAAAAGAGGCAAUUUUUAUAUACAUGCAAACUACCAGAAAGUAGAAUCUAAUAUUUUUCCCAUGUUCCAUUCAUUUUAUGGAAUCUAUACAAAAAUUUCCAUGAUUUUUGAAUUGGUAUCAAAUUUUCUACACAAAAUCAAACAUACAUCACAUUUUGUAAAAAAAGAAGAAAACACUGUGCUGCGAGCGGCUGUUGACGGUCCUUAAUGCUCACAUUUAACCAUCAAUUAAUCAUGGAAAAGGAUCCAAAUACAACCAACACCUAGACUUAGGGUUUUAUCUGACAGAAUUCCACGAGUUUUGGUGUUUGUCUAUUUCUGCAGGGGGUUAUCAGGAAAUACGGAAGAAAGGCCCACACGUCGGGUUUACAUAGAGAUAUUAACGUGCCGCGCAAUUUUCUAUCAUCUAGAAGACUCCAGAAGCCACGGGACCGAAGCGGAGGCCGAGAGGGCUCAGGCACAGGGCGCCCGCCCUAGUCCCUUGGGCGCCCGCCCACUUCCAGAGACCAAUUCGGUCACGUUUCGCGGACAACGCUCCACCGACCUAAAGGAUCAAGGAAAACCGUGCGAUCAAUGUCGGUUUGAUCCGACGGCCCAGAUUCACUUGAAGGGACUAUAAAACCAGACCUCCCUGGCCCCUGGAGAUCAUACCUCUUCUACAGAAUCAAAGUUAGGGUUUCAAUUCUUCAUCCAAGUAGAGAGGAUCCCUCUAGUUCUUCUAGUUCUACCUCUAGUUCAUCUAGAUCUAGUUCUAGUUCAUCUAGUUCUAGUUCUAGUUCCUCUAGUUCUAGUUCUAGUUAGUUCUAGUUGUAAUCUAGAAAAUAGGGAGAGAGAAGAGGAGAGCGGAGGAGGAGCCGGAUCUGUCGGAUCUUCCUCAACAUUGUACUUUUGCAGCAACUGGUUCGUUCUUCAUCGUUCUCCAGGUUCUUCAAUUCAUAACUCCUGAGUUCUCUAAUUACUUUUAUUUACAUUCAAGUUAUUUAUUGGAUUCCCGCUUGCAUCAAGUGCUCUAGUCUUUAUAACGCUAGAGUAGUAAUUAAUAGAUUAGACGUGGUGUUUAGUCUUGCGAUUACCUGAAAUUGCACCCAAUCCUACGGAUUGUUGUGGUAGCCCUAGGGUAGCCCUAACGGUCGACGUAUUCCACCACGUUCGGAUCGGUGUUUGUAGGACCGUAGUCAGACCUUCCUAGCCCCCUUCUCAUCUCUUUCUGUGGUUAGUGCUCUGAUGUCCCGAUAUAGAUAAUCUUGAAGUAAUUCUUGAUUCUUAGAUCAACUAGAGAACUCUCAGGAAACUUCCUCUCUUCCCACCAAAAAUAAUUAUAUAGUUAUCCUUGGGCGAUCUUGGAUCUUAAUUAGUACACUCACGUUCUCUGUGGAAAAUCGAUACUCUGGAAUACUCCCGGGUGAAAGCUACAUCGGUAUCCGUGCGCUUGCGGAUUUUUCUGUUUGCGUUUAAAAUACCCAACAAGCUUUCUGGCGCCGUUGCCGGGAAACGGUAGCUGUGCUAGUUUCGAACCAAGUCGUCCGUGUAUCCUGUUUCUUUUCCUUUUUUACCACUCACCUUAUCAUUUUCACCAUACCACAUGGAUUUCACUCUAAGCAUUAAUGAGCAUGGAAUUUAUUUCAUAGCCACUUCAUUUACUCCAUGCUCAUAUGCAACAUCUUCACAAUCCAUUGGUCUCUCCAACAUCACCACAUUCAAGAUCUCCAACCCCCUCUUCCUUUCUAUUCAUAAAAACUUUAAAAGGGCGGUUGUCGAUGCAUAUGUCUAUAUUAAAUAUUGCAGAUCUCGUUGAGUUGAUCUUGAUAUAAGUCAGCGUUGGAGGGGAAACCACUUCACUGACAUAAAUUGAUGGUUUCCCAAGGACAAGCUUAGUGUCCUAAAACAAGCACUGAUAAGAUUGUAACAUGAGCUUUUAAUUAUUUGCAACAUUAACUUGUGUAUUGAGCAUAUAUGGAUAAUUGUAAAAAUAUUCCUUCGGGUAUUCUUGUCACUAAGCUUUCUAGGAUUGGAGCAAGAAGAUCGAAUAAAUGACAAGCACAAGGUAUGUCCAACCAAUCAUCAUACAACAUUGAAUUAAAUUCAUCCAAACUUGAAUUUUGCAAAAUUCAAGCUUGGGAGAGUACUUUACAUUAAAAACAUCCUUUGCCAUGUUGCUAUGUUGGUUGUCCCUACCUUUAAGACAUGCUCAAUUUUGUUAAAUACUAAUCACACUACUUCAUCUCCACUUGAGUAGAUCUCUAUAAAUGCUCUCAUGCUACCUUUAUUUGCUUUAGUAUAUGUCUAAGUUUGGAGUAGUUUUAUUUAUCUCUUAAGUCAGCGUUGGAGGGUUUUUAAAUCAAGCUUGGUGCUUAGGUUAAAAUGCCCUCCUAAAUCAAAUUAGACAUGGUGUCAAGGUUGAUUUUUGAACCGAUUGUAUGCUAUAGUAGAUAUGGGAUAUUUUGUUGGACUAACCCCUGCAGGAAAACUAUCAAUAUCGACCUGGGAAGUCCUGAGACAAACUCACAUUGGAGACAAAGAGAGAGACGCAUGAAGGUUAACAAUUUACACAAGGAAGGCAUAGCUCACAAGAGAUGAUCCAUGGAGGGUGCCACAAACACGAUGCAUAACCGCUAAGAAAGGGAAGCUUCCACAAGGUGAUACUGUACCAUCAUUCUUCAAGUAAGGUAACAUCUUAAGGUACUUGACUAUCACUUUUAUAAGUUUCUCCUUAUUUCUGGCGUUCACAUGAAUAAAAGAGACAAACAUGUAUGAUUUACAACUCUAGAUUAACCAACUCAAUCGAUUCAACAUGUUUAGUCCUUCCACCUUUGUGAUUCCACACUCCUAAUCAUAUAAGCUAAAAUGUUGCACACUCAAUCUUUGGAAGAUAUAAACAAAACAUAUAUAUAGAUAGAUUAUCUUUCCAUAAGGUUGAGCAAUCUAAUCUGACAAAUGUUAAAUGCUACACUCAUGAUCUUAUUAUCCAUCAAUUUUGUCUUGCUCACUAUGCUUAAGGUUAGAGAGAACAAAUACACUUUUGGUUCUGUUGGUGUUUUCCACCAACAGGGCCCAUGCACUUGAUCUCUGCCUUGUCUCUAUGAGCAGGUACACUUUGAGCAAAAUAUGAAGGAGUUUUUCAACUCCCAGACUCCACCGAGUGAAGAACCUAGAUCUAUGAGCACAAACACACUGGAGAUACUGGACACUCAGGCAAUCACUGCCUUGAGAUGCUUGAGGACGUAACUACUGGAGUAACCCCAUUAUGGAAGUAAUUACUGACCUUCUGCCAGUCAAGAAAGGCAAUCCAGGAUGCACCGUCAUCCCGAUCUCCUCUGGCAUGCUUGCAGAUCGUAUGCUAAGUUUCCCAAAGGGAAUAUUGAAGAACCUCUACGUCUGAGUUGGUACCUUAUACGUUCCAGCAGACUUCAUGGUGAUAGAGACUGAUACUGAUCAGAGGGCACCCAUCCUAGGGAGGCCAUUCCUGAACACCUCAGGAGCUAUCAUCUACGCUAGUACUGCCAAGAUCAGUUUCUACAUCAAGGGGAGGAAGAAGACGUUUUCCUUCAAGAACAAGACUACACAAGUCUCAGAGCAAUCCUGACAUGAACCAAGGAAGAGGACCAACCGGAGGAACAGGAACAAGCAAGUGUGGACCAAGUCAGCUAAAAUGGUCACUACAGUUCAAGGAUGACAAGCCCGUCGACUUAAGUCACCAUUCGUGACCAAAAAGGACGACCCAAGUAUGCCAAGCAUCCAGUGCUCCAUUAAUGGAUACAACUUCCAGAAGAAGCUUUACGACACCGGGUCAGGCGUCAACAUAAUGGCCGCAGUCACCUAUCAGCUUCUGUUAGGAACCAUGCCCUUAAAACCGACAUACACCCAGCUCCAGAUGGCAGAUCAAACAUUUCGGAAGGUUGAAGUUAUUGACAUAGGAGAAGACGAGUACGAUCCACCCAUCAUCCUUGGAAGACCGUUCCUCAACACCGUUAAAGCAAUCAUCUACAUUGGAACCGGCGGAGUCCACAUGCACUUCCCCUCUGAAAAGGUACGCCACUAUUUUACUAACCUUAACUACAUAGUUGAAAGACUCUAAGCAAGUCAGGACAAGAAGAAGACGACGCAACCGCAACCAGAGUAGGCAAAUUAUCAAGGACGAAUGGGCGGAUUAUGAAGGAGAAGUGGUAAGGUCUGAAAACAUACAACUUGAACAGAACUGUCCUGAGGAGACCGUAGCACCGUGUCAGGUGUGGAGAGAAAUGAUAGUUAUACAUGAAGACCAGGCGCUGCCGGAACCACUGACUACGCCAUCCAACGAAUCCCAGGACAACUGAGAAAAUAGAGAGUCCUGUUCGGAGGACUUAAAAACACCGAACGCCUUGGUAAGAGUUAAACUUGGUAGUUAUCCUUUUUCUCUUUCAAUUAUUUAAAAUAGUUUGCUUAGUUAAUCAGGUUCAUAUCAUCUUAAAAAGAAAAUAAAAAUGUUAAAAAUAGUAAGCCUCAUGUGAGUAUGCUCAUGGCAUAAAACCCAUAAGUACAUUCACUGUGGUGGCCUAAAAAUAAAUAUAUAUUCCUGUCCUAUAAAAAGGAAAUUAUAAAAAUAGAUUUAUGAUCCUACUAAAGAGUGUAAUAUUUAUUGAGGAGGCUCAACAUGAUAAAGGCUAAGAGAUUUUAUGCUAACAUUUAACCAGUUCCACAAAGCUUUGUUGUCUAUUUGAGCUCCACAGAAUUCAAGGAUCAAAGAAGACUAGCAGACAAAGGACAUCCUAAUCGCUGUCAGAGUGCUGCCGACAUUCAAAUACACCUCCGCCACCUGCUAGCUACAUCAGAAGAAAUUAUGUCAAAAUCCAGCUUGGGGGAGAGCACCCCCAUUUAUCCAGCUAAGUGUUCUACUCACGUUUAUACUUUACUCAAAUAAUAAAAAAAAUGCAUAAUCAUAAAAACCCAAAUAAAGAUUUUGUGCUUAUAUAUAUAUAUAUCUUUGCUUAGUUUGCUAAAUAAAAAAAAAUAAAUCAAGAUAACUAUUAUUUUUCUUUCUUAGUUUUAUUUACUAGUAUUCGGAAAUAAAAAAAAUGCAUAACCAUGAAACCAAACACAGUUUUUGUUUUGAGUAAUAUAUAAUAGUUUUAUGUAAUACUAAGUUUUAAAUAAAAUAAAAAGAAAGUUUGAUUCAAGUCUAGGUAAUUGACAAACAUGAUAUGAGAAGGUCUGAGCUACUAUUUAACUUGUUCCAAGUUUUGCUAGAGUUCUGGAGAUUUUAUCUUUUGAAAAUUUAAAAAUUCAUAAAAAAAAAUAUGAGAUCAUAAUACCUAGAGUCUUAUAAGAAAUAAAUAUUAAAACUGUGGGUACUUUCUUUGUUCAAGCCAUUGUUAAUUCUUGUAGUUUUGGUUGAGAGAAUUAUCAUGCUCCCAAGAUCAAGAUCUUUUUGUUUUAAAAAUAUAAAAGAUUCACUCUUCCAAAGUAUUAUUGCGUUAGAGGCAUGGGACUAUGCAAAAAAAUUUGAUUCGAAAAAAAAGAGUGAGAUGAGAGGUAAAAAUGGACAAGUGUCCGAAGUAGAAUUAGGGGUACAAAGAUACCCACCUGAGUGGAAAAAAAUGGACAUGUGUCCGACAGUAGAAUUAGGGGUACUUGCUGCCCACUUGGAAAAAAAAGACUAAAAAAAAAGAAGAAAAAAAAGGAAAAAAAAUGAUAGCCCAUGGUCCCUCUAAUAAGCAAUAUGCCAGUAAGAGAUGACAAACUCUUCAAAAAGGUCAAAGGUCUUGAUCUAGGAGUAUGACAUUCCUCUCCCUUGCUCCGAGCAUUGACAUAGCAAAAUGCAAAGUAAGUAUGCUAAAAUUUUUAAAGCUCUACUUAUAUAUCUUUCGAGAAGAAGGCAAAUGCCUUAGAUUUAUUUUGGAAACUUACAAACAACUCCAGAACAAAGGUAAGACAGAAGAACUUGAGACAUAGUGCUUGACUUGAUCAUUUUGUUUUUCAAUCACUUAAGACCUUAGUGAUAACUUAAAACCCCUUUAGUAAAAGGCAUAAAAGUAACCCCUGUUUUCUUGAUGAUUUUAGCUUUGCUCAGGGACGAGCAAAGGUUAAGCUUGGGGGAGCUUGUUGACGGUCCUUAAUGCUCACAUUUAACCAUCAAUUAAUCAUGGAAAAGGAUCCAAAUAUAACCAACACCAAGACUUAGGGUUUUAUCUGACAGAAUUCCACGAGUUUUGGUGUUUGUCUAUUUCUGCAGGGGGUUAUCAGGAAAUACGGAAGAAAGGCCCACACGUCGGGUUUACAUAGAGAUAUUAACAUGCCGCGCAAUUUUCUAUCAUCUAGAAGACUCUAGAAGCCACGGGACCGAAGCGGAGGCCGAGAGGGCUCAGGCACAGGGCACCCGCCCUAGUCCCUUGGGCGCCCGCCCACUUCCAGAGACCAAUUCGGUCACGUUUCGCGGACAACGCUCCACCGACCUAAAGGAUCAAGGAAAACCGUGCGAUCAAUGUCGGUUUGAUCCGACGGCCCAGAUUCACUUGAAGGUACUAUAAAACCAGACCUCCCUGGCCCCUGGAGAUCAUACCUCUUCUACAGAAUCAAAGUUAGGGUUUCAAUUCUUCAUCCAAGUAGAGAGGAUCCCUCUAGUUCUUCUAGUUCUACCUCUAGUUCAUCUAGAUCUAGUUCUAGUUCAUCUAGUUCUAGUUCUAGUUCCUCUAGUUCUAGUUCUAGUUAGUUCUAGUUGUAAUCUAGAAAUUAGGGAGAGAGAAGAGGAGAGCGGAGGAGGAGCCGGAUCUGUCGGAUCUUCCUCAACAUUGUACUUUUGCAGCAACUGGUUCGUUCUUCAUCGUUCUCCAGGUUCUUCAAUUCAUAACUCCUGAGUUCUCUAAUUACUUUUAUUUACAUUCAAGUUAUUUAUUGGAUUCCCGCUUGCAUCAAGUGCUCUAGUCUUUAUAACGCUAGAGUAGUAAUUAAUAGAUUAGACGUGGUGUUUAGUCUUGCGAUUACCUGGAAUUGCACCCAAUCCUACGGAUUGUUGUGGUAGCCCUAGGGUAGUGACAGCCCUAACGGUCGACGUAUUCCACCACGUUUGGAUCAGUGUUUGUAGGACCGUAGUCAGACCUUCCUAGCCCCCUUCUCAUCUCUUUCUGUGGUUAGUGCUCUGAUGUCCCGAUAUAGAUAAUCUUGAAGUAAUUCUUGAUUCUUAGAUCAACUAGAGAACUCUCAGGAAACUUCCUCUCUUCCCACAAAAAAUAAUUAUAUAGUUAUCCUUGGGAGAUCUUGGAUCUUAAUUAGUACACUCACGUUCUCUGUGGAAAAUCGAUACUCUGGAAUACUCCCGGGUGAAAGCUACAUCGGUAUCCGUGCGCUUGCGGAUUUUUCUGUUUGCGUUUAAAAUACCCAACAGUGGCCCGGGAAUUCGGCCCGCAGGCCGGCCCACGCGCACUCGGCCCAAAAGCGCGCUGCGCGCGGCCUCGCCUCCACUCACGGCGUCGCUGACAGCGGGCCCCCGCUGUCAGCUUCGUCUUCAAGCUUCGGCCGGCCAAAUCAACGGCACGACCGAGACAUCCGCGCCAUCUCCGCCCCUCGCGACUCGCUGGUCGCGUUCUCCACUCCAGGGCGCACCUCUGGACCCCCUGAGCACUCGUUCUCUCCUAGCCUAGCCCUCGUGGCCACAGGCACGGCGGACGGCCGCGUCGGCCGGGCAAACGCCGGCCGCCACGAGCGAGUAGAACGCAAAUUGGAUGGCGUAUAAGCAUCGGUGGCUCACCGCGACUUCAGCGAAGCAAACGACGGCGGUAGAGGAGCUCGGAGCAUGCCUAGCCGCGGUGAGGUGCUCGCGGCGGCGCUUUUACCGGAGUUGGGAACGACGGCUUGGAGUGGAGCUACGGCAGGUUAGAGCUUGCGCUCGGGGGCGCAAUUGAUGGCUAAGAGCUUGGCGAAGCUAUUGGAGUGCUCGGGUGGCUUGGAAGGGAAGCAUGCGAGGUGAACUUGGGGAGCGGAGUAAGUUCGUCGGCGUUGAGUGGAAAGGAGGAAAAAUGAGGCGGCCAGGCAGUGUGGUUGCUAAGGGGAGUGGAUGAGCACGCCGGGGGCUUGUCCACUUCAUGGCGGGCUCGCGCAGCCAAGCAGCUGCGUGGCUAGGCGCGUGGUGGCGCGUGCGAAGGCGGCGCCUGCCCGCCCUGCGGCCGCGGUGGACGGGCUCGUGAUCCUCAUCGGAUCACUGUAGCCGUCCCUUAUCCCCUCUUCUCUGUUUUUUGCAAAAUUCACCCAAAAAUUGAACUGGAGCCAAUUUUUCACCAAAAUGAAAGUUGUGCAAAAUUUUACAAUCUACAAAACUCCUUUUGGUGACCAAGGCUAAUUCUGAGUGGAAAUUGGUGAAUUUGACAAAACAGUUUGAAAUUCAAAUCUCAAUUUAGGGAAAUUCAAAUUUUUGAAUUGGGGGCAGAUCAGAAUUUCCAAAAUUACUUUUGAUUUUCUAGAACAACAUGAAAAAUUCCCAACAUUAAAGUUGUUCAACUUUUUGAGCUCUACAACUUUCAUGUUGGUCACUUUUCAAGAUUCCAAAUAGAUUUUGAAUUGUUGAUUCAAAUUGGAAACAGGGGACACUUUCUAGAAAUCUAUAUUUUCAAAAUUACUUUGAAUUUUGUAUUGAAACUUCAAAAUCUCAAAACACCAAAGUUGUACAUCUUGACAAGAUCUACAACUUUGCUUUUGAACUCAACUUCAAAUUUUGCUUAGUUUUUAAAUUGCACAAAAGGGGGCAAAACAAGGCUUUUUAAAAAUCAGGGUUUUUCCACCCCAUUUCUCUCGGAAAUCUUCCACCCUAGGAAUUAUACAACCAACACAAGCAUCACUUCACAACAUAAGCACACUUUAAUUCCCUAAGCACAAACAAUCAAAAUAAAAUUGUUUUAAGUUGAUGCAUAAUAAUGUGCUUAACAGGUAUGCGAUGCAAUGAUCAUGAUGACAUGAUCCAGUUUUAGUAACCGUAACAUUAGGGAUGUUACAUCAUCCCACCAGGCUAAUAGAAGGCUAGACCCCCCUGGAGGAGGCCAGAUCAAGAGAUAAAGAUCAGAGCAUUAGAUAGAGAUCCACUAGAUCUAGGCUAGCAAUCAAGAUAUAGAUUAGAGGGAUAGAGUAGACGAGUAAAGAUUCAGAGGAGUCCCGGCCUGUCGGAGCUUCCUCAGGAGCUGUAUUUUUCUGGAUUCGGCUCCCUUGUCCGGAACCGCGUUCUGAGGUACUUUUGUAUUUACCCUUCUGAUUCAAGUAAGCAACUUGUUUGUAUUCAUUCUUUGGUUUGAAUCUCAUACUAUAUUGAGUACUACGAUUUGGGUAGCUCCUAGGUCGGAGUAGUGGUUCGUAGCAUUGACGUGGUAGUUCAUGUAGGUGACUUUAUAGCUGUUUUGAUUCCUUUGUAGUCAACUUUCCGUUGAUAGGAUUGAUAUGCUUAUAGGUUCCUGAUAGGGGAUUACUCUGAUUCUUUCCCUAUUUGGGUUACUUGCUCGAUAAGACGAUACUAUACAAAGUUUAUCGGUUAUUGGAACUAGAGUACAUUAGUAUUUCCUCAUGAUCAAUAGUUUUCUAGAUUGAUUGUACCCUUUUAGAUUAUGAAAUUGUAGGUUAUGUCAUAAAUCACCUACUCUUCCAUUGGGUUCGAUACUAAAACCAGGUUGAUCUUUGUGAAGUGCUGAUCAGUAUAUAUCUGUGCGCUUGCGGAUAAUCUGAUUAUAAUCAUUAUUAGGGUGCAGUUAAUUUAUACCAACAAGCAUUUUUAGCGCUGUGGCCGAGGAACGGUUUGCUGAUUUUGACAUUAGUCUAUCUUAGUCUAUAGUUAUCCUUUUAUAUAUAUAAUAUAUAUAUGGAAAUUGAAUCUCAACUUUUAUAUCAAUAUAGGGCACCAUCAGGAUCGUACCUCCAGCCAAAGGAAUCUUCUAAACCUAUCACAUCAUCUCGCUAUGAGCUAUGCCCGAGACUAAUCAAAUUAGUUCAAGAACAUAUUUUUUAUGGUAACUCUAGCGAAAAUCUUAUUCCCACUUAGCUGAUUUUGAGCAGACAUGUUCAUAUCUAAGUAUUAAGGGCAUGGCCGAUGAAACUCUACGAUGGAAACUCUUUCCAUUUUCAUUAACGGGUCGAGCUAAGAAAUGGUAUAAUUGCCAUGUUGGAAAUAGUCAAGGAGACUUCGAUAUAUUACGAAAAGACUUUUGCCUUAAAUUCUCCCCAAUAGAAAAGGUCACUAAACUUUGGUUUGAAAUUAUAGGACUCAAACAAUUAGACAAUGAAUCAUUAGGCAAGGCUUGGGAUCGUUUUGAUGGCUUUGUAAAUUCUAGACCUAAUCUUGUUGUACCAGAACCCAUGCAUUUACAACAUUUCUUUUUAGGCCUCAAUGAUAGAAAUCAAGAAUACCACUAUUUGGCCUCGGGAGGAGCAUUUAUGCAUAUUACUGUUGAUCAUGCUAAAACUAUUCUUACUAAUAUUUUAAAUGAUCUCCCCGAAGAAAAAGAAGAAUUAUGAGAAGAAGAAUCUCAGUUAGCUGAAAAUAAACUUUUACUUGAUUCAUCUCAAUCUAUAGUUGAAUUAGCUAAUGAGACGAAGAUAACUCCAAAUUCUGAAUGGAUGUUUGAAAUUGAGGAUGAUUUCUUUGAUGAUUUUGGUAAUACUACAUUUUAUCAUAAGAUUAUUCAACCCCAACAAACUAGGGAUUUUAAUCCUAAUUUGUCACAUCCUGAUGAUUUAAAAUUUCAUAUAGAAGUUAUAAGGGAAUUAAUCUGUAUUUUGGGUGAUGAUUGGUUAAUAGAAUCUGAGCAAUCCCCUAAAGUGAUUCGCUUUAAUUCACCCUCGGUUGUUAUAAAGUUGCAAGUAGAUUCAUAUCCUUUUGAAGCUUUAUAGAAUCCAGUUACUGGAGUCAACAUUACGUCAUAUACUUUUGCUAAAGAAUUCUUGAGAGACAUACCAUUAAUUCCUAGAAAUAGAUUGUUAAAGAAUUGUUCAUGACACAUUAUUCCUAGCUUAGUACUUCUGAGUGCACUUCCAAUUGUUAUUAAUGAUUUUUGCAUUUUGCUAAAUUUAUGUGUGGGAUUUUAAUGUAAUGAUUGGAGUACCCAUAAUAAAACUUCUUCAAGAAGGCCGUAAUGGUAAAUUAGACAUUAAAUUUGGGAAAGGAUUUAGUUUUUCAAUGCCUAUAACUCAUGCAGUAAAAGUUAUAGCAGAACUCCUUCCUGAAUUAGAUCCAAUAGAAGAGGUUAAGACAUCCGAAUUCGAUAAUCUUAGUCAACCUGAUUUAGAAGAUGAUACCCAGUUAUUCAUCGAAGAAGAUGAAGAGGAUCCUAUUGAUCCUGAACCUCUUGAUGAACAACUAGAGCCACUUAACCUCCUAUUGAGCUUAAACCACUACCUUCUAGACAUAAAUAUGUUUUUCUAAAUAAUGAUCAAAUAUAUCCUGUGAUUAUAAGUGAUAAACACCAUGCUGCUUUUGGUUAUUCACUCCAAGACCUAAAAGUGAUUAACCUUGUUCUUUGCACCCAUCGCAUGCUAACGAAUCCAGAAAUUACACCUUCGAGAGAGCCUCAGUGUAGACACCAGAGUACGAUGAGAGAAGUAGUAAAGAAAGAGAUCUUAAAGCUUUUGCAUGCGGGGAUUAUAUAUCCUUUACUGUAUAGUGAGUGGGUAAAUCCUAUGCACAUUGUACCUAAAAAGGGAGGAACGACAGUUGUCCAAAAUGUUAAAAAUGAAUUAAUACCCCAAGAACUAUCACUGGAUGGCGAAUGUGCAUAGAUUAUAGAAAACUCAACAAGGCAACAAAGAAAUAUCAUUUUCCUCUACCUUUCAUUGAUGGGAUGCUACAACGUUUAGCCAAUCAUUCUUUCUUUUGUUUCCUUUAUGGUUAUUCAGGAUAUCACCAAAUCCAUAUCCACCCUAAUGAUCAAAGCAGAACCACUUUUACAUGUCCCUAUGGAACUUAUGCUUAUCGUAGAAUGUCUUUUGGGUUAUGUAAUGCACCCGCUUCUUUCCAAAGAUGCAUGAUGUCUAUAUUUUCUGAUAUGAUAGAAAAAAUCAUGGAAGUUUUUAUGCAUGACUUUUCAGUUUAUGGAAUAACUUUUGAUGAUUGUUUAUAAAAUUUAGAUAAGGUUUUGCAAAGAUGUGAAGAAAAACUCUUAGUCCUCAAUUUGGAGAAAUGUCAUUCUAUGGUUAGAGAGGGAAUAGUGUUAGGACACUUAGUGUCUGAAAGAGGUAUAGAGGUAGAUAAAGCUAAAUUGAAGUAAUCAAACAGCUACCUCCACCUGUUAAUAUAAAAGGAAUCCGAAGCUUUCUUGGUCAUUGUGAGUUUUAUCAUUGAUUUAUAAGAAAUUUCUCACAAAUUGCUAGGCCAAUGACUAUAUUAUUAGCUAAGGAUGUACCUUUUCAAUUUGAUGAUGAAUGCUUAGAAUGAUUUAAUAUUCUUAAGGAAGCACUCACAUCAGCACCAAUCAUUCACUGAGGAAGGAUGGAAGAUCAUCGACAGAUAUCAUUCAUCACCAUAUGGAGGUCAUUAUGGAGCAUUUCGUACACAUUCAAAGAUCUGGCAGUGUGGAUUCUACUGGCCUACAAUGUAUGAAGACAUGAAGCAAUAUAUCAGAAGAUGUGGGCCAUGUCAACAGCACAGAAACAUAAACACAAGAGAUGCCAUGCCACUCACCAACAACCUUCCGAUUGAGCUCUUUGAUGUCUUCGGAAUAGAUUACAUGGGUCCAUUUCCACGAUCAAAGAAGUGUGAGUUCAUCUUGGUGGCAGUUGACUACGUCUCCAUGUGGGUAGAGGCACUACCUUGCAAGCAUGCCGACAACAUCAGUUCAAAGAGGAUGUUUGAAGAAAUUAUAUUUCCAAGAUUUGGAGUCCCUAGAGUAGUGAUAAGUGAUGGAGGAGCACACUUCAUCGACAAACGCUUCAAGCAAUAUCUAUCAAGACAUGGAAUCCGUCACAACGUUGCUACCCCCUACCAUCCUCAGACAAGUGGCCAAGCAGAGAUUUCCAACAAGCAAAUCAAGAAUAUUCUUCAGAAAACAGUCAAUGAGAUGGGAAUGGUAUGGAAUGACAAGUUACCCGAUGCACUCUGGGCAUACCAGACAGCAUACAAGACCCCAAUUGGAAUGUCCCCAUACUAAUUGGUGUACAGGACCAUUCAAGGUAAUCAAUUCAUCAUCCCACGGAGCUAUCACACUUCAAAAUGACGAAGGUAAGUUAUUCAAGGUAAAUGGUCAACGUCUUAAAUUAUUUUUAGAGCCCAAAAAAGAAUUAGAAGAAAUAGACGUAAUCCAUUUCUACCUUCCCAUCGAGAAUUAAAGCCCAACCUUUUUAAUAUGAUGUUUUCGGGCCACACAUAUAUUUUCCUAAUAAGUUUUGCAUCUAGAAACACGCUCGAGGAAAGUGGGCCCCCUGAUGAAGAGGGCGGGCGCCCUGAUGGAGAGGGCAGGCGCCCAAGCACAGGGCGGGCGUCGUGAUGAAGAGGGCGGGCGCCCAGCCCCUGCCCCCUCUCAGUCCCGAUUUCCUCCGUCGCAAUAAACACAUUUAUGGUAAACCAAAUAAUCAUACAGAUGGAAAGUCUCGUACGCACGGCGGCGGGAGUAGCCCGAACAAACCCUAGAGGCACUUUUUGACCCCUAUAUAAAUAGACCCCUGACGUUAGUUUUCAAACACCAAUUUAUUCAAGCCUUCUCUCCUUCUUCAAUUAGAGCUUGCUUAGUUCCUCGCUGCUCCAAUGGCCGAAGAGUUCCACGACAAUUGGGAUGUUGUCCCCUAUGACCUCAACAAGAAGCCCAAGGAAGACCCCGACGCCCGCGCUCUCGUCCCAGCCCACACAGAGCGACACCUAGAAGCCAUGCCAUUACGCCAGUGCAGCUCCGCCCAAUCCUACCAUGCUCAACCAGUUCUCACCGCACCACCGCAGCCCCUACUUCUUAUGGGACCAUCAGCCAAGAAGGAGACCACCAUCAAGGUGCCAGCCGACACGAGGAUCCUUCCACCCACACCCAAUGAGAGGGUCGUCAGAGUCAAGACCAACCGUAGCGGCGAGAUCAGCAGUAUCCGCUACACUACGGAGGAAGAGAGGCCUUACUUUGAGGGGAUUAGAGCAGCCAAAGUCCGUUUCAUCCCUCCAAAGGCAGCCCCAAAGCACGCUCUCAAUGCUCUCGAGACACCUCCUAAGCAUCGCAAGACUAUAGUAGAUAUUGUUGAGGACGUUCGUAGGCUAGACAGGAUCAUCAUAGAGCUCCAGUCCUCGGUUAACGCUAUCUCUAGGCAGCUCUCUAACCAGAACACCAUUAUACUUGGUCUUAGGCAUGAUCUUGCUAGUGCGAAUAAGAAGAUCAGGGAGUUAGAGCGCCGCUAAGUUAUCCAGAUUAGAUCUCGAGGCAAUGCAUCUUAGUUAUUUAUCCUUAAAUUCGGUUUAGAUCUAUUAUUUGCUUCAGUUCAUUACUAGUCAUUUGUAAUAAAUGCCUAAAGAUUAAUAAAGAUUAUUAUUACUAUGUCUUGUGUGUCUCUACUUUAUUUUUAUACAAGAAAGCAGAAAACAAGUAUGGGGGAGAUCCCUCGACAUGCCAAACACACUUCGACUACACCACUCCACGAUUCAAGUACAUACUCUGCACACUUUACACACACAUAUAUAUCUUGGAUUAUGCAGAAUAUUGUCUCUGACAUGAUAAAUUACAAAGAUUAAAAUGUUUCUAAUCAUGAUUAAUCUCACUCUAUGAUAUUUCCUGAAAAUCUGAAAUUAUUAAGAAUCAUUUUAAAACCCUGUGUUACUUAAGUCAUUGUGGAAUGUGAGAUGGUAUAGUAUGAGUACCUUAUUCUCGAUAUCAUUGUUGCUUGGAGAAUUUAUUUCAAAAUCUUCAAAAUUCUAGCUACCAUCCUUAGUGUUUUAUAUGCCUGAUAAACCUAAAAAUAUUAACAUGAUAAUUAUAAAAGCUAUCUGCUCUGUAUUGAGUCUAUUCAAAAUGUGUUAGACCCUUGUUGAGAGAUUUAUCAUGCUACUAAGAUCAAGACAUUAUUUCAGAAAGAUUCACUCUUUCGAAGUAUUAUUGCAUUAGAGGCAUGGGCUAUGCAAAAAUAAGGAUAUUUCGAGGAAAUAAAAAGGAGCAAGUGCUCGACAACCUCACAGAAAAAAAUGGACAAGUGUCCGGCAGUAGAAUUAGAGGUACCUCAGUAUUCACUUAAAAAAAGAAGAGAAAAGAAAGAAAAUGAUAGCCCAUGGUCCCUCUAAUAAGCAAUAUGCCAGUAAGAGUUGACAAGUUUUUAAUUUCCAAAGUCUUUGAUCUAAGAGUAUGGCAUUCUUCUCCUUAGAUCCUGUUCUGAUCAGGCAAUAAAUGCAAAGUAAGUACGCUUGAGAAUUUUUGCAAAAUUAAAACAGCCUUAGUGAGAUAUAUAAAAGAUAAUGAGUGACCUGAGAGAACCUAUGAGGAUAAAGGUAUGCUAAAUUUCUUUUGAAAAAUAUACAAAAGCUCCAAGUAACAAGAUUAAGAAGAAAGAAUCUCUACUCUUGACCAUAUAUUUCCCUGACUACGGUGCACAGUGAAUUUUUACAACACCCUGCAGGUAUGAAGAAAAUGCUUUACAAUGUUUUAACCCCAGAUAUUUUUCUUAACCAUCCUUUUCUCGAGGACAAGUAAAAGCCUAAGUAUGGGGGUAUUUGUUGACGGUUCUUAAGUAUCAAUUUUAAUUAACAAAUAAACAAGGGAAAGGACCAAUAUACAAACAACACCUAAAAUUAGGGUUUGAUCUGACAGAAUUCCACGAGUUUUGUUGUUUCUCUGUUUCUGCAGGGGUUAUCAGGAAAUAAGGAAGAAAGGCCCACAUGUCGGGAUUACAUAGAGAUAUUAACGCACCGCGCAAUUUUCUACCAUCUAGAAGACUCCAGAAGCCAUGGGAACGAACGGGAAGGCGAUCGGGCCCGGGGGUAGGGUGCCCGCCCUUCCCCCUAGGGCGCCCGCCCUGGUGUCUCCACCAAUUGGAGCCAACUUUGCGGAUCACGAUCCACCGAGCUAAAGGAUUAAGGAUAAUCAUUCAAUCAAUGUCGGUUUGAUCCGAUGGCCCACGUUCACCUGAGGGGACUAUAUAAGCAGACCCCCUGGCCCCUGGAGGAGAAGAAGUUCAUCAUAGAGUUGAGAGGUGCCCCCGAAGGAUAACCUUUCCUCUAAAUAGACUUAGGGCUUAGCAUCUAAUGUGAGAGUAGACUAGAUCUACUAGAUUGAGAGAGAUAGAGUGGAGGUGUAGAUCGGAGGAAGCCCGGCCUGUCGGUGUCUACUCCGAGGUUGUACCUGCGGGAUCAAGUUCUCCUAACCCGAAGCUUGUUCCUAGCAUUCUUCAGUAUUUCGACUUCUAAAUUCUAGUAAGUUCUUGUUUUAUUGUUCUUUGGUUUAUGAGUUUAAUUUGGUCUCUUCUUGUAGAGUUUAGAGUAAUCAUCUAUAGCAUAAACGUGGUGUUUGGGCUAGGAUACUCAUAGAUAUCCCCUGACUAGCUGGAUCGUGGUAGUAGCGAGGAACGUGAUAUUUCCAAGUUACCUUUGCAGCCCAUAUCCCGUUAGUAGGAUCGAUAGGGUUUAUAGGUGCGAGUUGAACAUCCUCUGUGGUGUCUAGAUUCAGUCAGCCUCCCCAACAGAACAGUAGAUCAUCCUUACCAAGGUUAGAAAGAGAUUACGGUUGUAGUCUUCUCUAUACAUGGCUCACAUCGAGAAACAUUCUUUGUAGCCUAAAGGUUAGUAGUAAUAGACCGGGUUAGUCAGAUGCACUCUUUCUCCUAGUGGUAAAAAUAUAAAUACGAUACUCUGGAUAAUAUCCCAAGUGAAGUGCUCACCGAUAUCCGUGCGCUUGCGGAUCAAUUCCAUAUUGUGUUCCCAAAUAUCAACACAUUGCACAACCCGAACGACAUUCUUCUGUAUUAUGCAUACGUUCCAUAUGGGCAUGUGAACAUAGUUUUUCUUUGAUCAUCUGGAUGGAUGGGAAUUUGGUGAUAACCAGAAUACCCAUCGAGGAAACGGAAAUAGGAGUGUUUUGCCAAUCGUUCCAACAUCUCAUCGAUGAAGGGCAAUGGGAAAUGAUCCUUUUUCAUUGCCGCGUUAAGUUUUCUAUAAUCAAUACACAUUCUCCAUCCUGUGACGGUACGUUGAGGGAUAAGCUCGUUCUUAGCGUUCUUAACUACCGUCAUUCCUCCAUUUUCCGGAACCACUUGGACGGGACUAACCUAGUCGCUAUGUGGUACGGGAUAAAUAAUCCCGGCGUGAAAAAGUUUGAGGACUUCCUUUUUCACGACUUCCCUCAUCGCAUUAUUGAGCCUGCGCUGUGGUUCACGUGUGGGCGUGCUUACAGGGUCAAUAGGUAUAUGAUGGGUACAGAGUGUUGGGCUAACCCCCUUGAGGUCUUGCAAGGAAUACCUGAAGACCGACCUAUGCUUUUCAAAAACAGCGAUGAGUCGAGAGGUUUCGUCCUCAGAAAGUUUAUCACUAAUGAUGACGGGCGUGUUUUUGUCACCAUGAAGAAAAGCAUAUCUUAAUCCUUUGGGUAUUGUUUUUUGCUCAACUGGAGGUGGAGUCGGCACUUCCUCCUUAGGAAGUUCGAGGAUUUCUCCUGUGUCGUCCUCUUCUUCUAUAAAGAAGUUAGAGUCAUUUUCUAAGGACGUCUCAGGAGUUUCGAAUGGCAUUACAGACAUAACCUCCUCAGGCAUAGAAGAAUAGGGAGGUUCUGCUAUCGAGUCUAGCUCAAGAGAAUGGGAUCGAAAAUUUAUUCUUCCCUAUCUUUACAUCUAAUCCCCCCUUGUUAGAGGCAUCGUAAAAGAAUGUCUCUAGGGGGUGCCCGAUCAGCAUAUCGAAGCCUAUGCCAUCAAAUAUAUGAAAAUCUAGAGUCAAGACAACAUCUCCAUGCCGAAUGUUCACGUUGUAAACCACUCCUUGUCCCUUUUUAAUGGACCAUGGUACAUCUCUAAAAGACAAGUUGGUAGGAGCUAAAGUUUUAUCACCAAGAUCGAUGAGUGCAAAGCCUGAGGAGACUAUGUUUGCCCCUACUGUGGGGUUAUACAACGUCUCUGCCCAAUCAUCCUCGAUCUUACAGUGAAUGGUUCGUGAAGGUGAGCAAAUCUAAAUUACUUCAGAUGAAGACUCUCUUUCAUUCAUCCAUUCAUUGCUCAUGAUCGCUAACAACUCCUUAACAGAUUCUUUAAGGGAAUCAAGAUCAGAUUCUAGAGUGACACGAACAUGAUUGAUCUUCUUUUUAUUAUACUUCAAAUAAUUACUGAAAUCGUCAAUGAACUCGUCAUCGAAGCAUGGAAGGGCAUAGGGUAGAGGGUUCUCUCUUAGCUCAUCUGGUUCGGGUGUAGUUUUGUGUGUGAAUGAUCCUCCCACGGACGUGUCAAGCAUUAGGGCAGAUUCCUUGUAAAGCCCUAACCAAAAGUGCUGUAAUAACACAUGGUUGGGGAUAGACAAGUCUGGGCCAGAUUUGGUCAAAGUUGUGAAUCUGUCCCAAGCUGCUCCUAGGGAUUCCUUCUCUUCUUGAAGGAAGUUGAGAAUCUCUUGACGUAGGUGUUGACGGUCCUUAAGUAUCAAAUUUAAUUAUCAAAUAAAUAAAGAAAAGGAUCCAAAUGAAAUCAAGAUCUAGACUUAGGGUUUUAUCUGACAGAAUUCCACGAGUUUUGGUGUUUGUCUAUUUCUGCAGGGAGUUAUCAGGAAAUAUGGAAUAAAGGCCCACAUGUCAGGAUUACGUAAAGAUAUUAACGUGCUGCGCAAUUAUCUUACAUCUAGAAGACUCCAGAAGCCACGAGACCGAAGCGGAGGCGAAACGGGGCCAGACCCUGGGCGGCCGCCCAGUUGGUCAGGGCGCCCGCCCACCUCUGGAGUCCAAUCAGGACUCUGCUUUGCGGGAAGUCUCCACCGACCUAAAGGAUGAAUCUAAACCAUACAAUCUAUGUCGGUUUGAUCCAAGGGCCCAUAUUCACUUGCAGGGACUAUAAAACCAGACCCCCUGGCCCCAGGAGGAGGGAGCCUCUCAACCCUAAUUCAUUGUUCCAUCAAGGGAGAAGAAGCCUCUGAUCAAGAUUAGAGCCACCACAUCAAUUAGAUAUCUAGAUUAGCAUAGCUACAUAGGAUUAGAACUAGAAGGAGUCAAUCUUCGAUUGGUUUCCGGAUCUGUCAGGAGGAUUCUUGGUAAUUCUCUAAUUGUGCUUCUAAUUGCUUUCUAAUUAUCUUUGUUCUUCAAUAUUAUGAAUAUGACUUUGUUCUACUUCAAUAUAUUGCUUAUGACUUUGCUCUACUUGCUUAUAUUCAAGAUUAUAUUGUUCUUAGUUUAUCAUAGUUAUGUACUUGGCUUAGUUAGAUACGAUCUAUAUACAUGCUUAGGAUCGUAUAGCGUUUAUCCAUCGGAUCCAUGGGUAAAUGAUAGAUAUUGUGUAGGCGUGGUGCUUAUACCGUAUUUAUCUGCGAUUGUACCCAAUAUGCCAGAUCGUGGGGUAGUUCGUGAUAGUGACAGCUUCAUUGAUUCUUAUAUAGUCCCCCUCUCGUGUAUUGGGCUGGCAGAGCAACAUUAUUACAGGGGAGUGAUUGCUAUGUUUCUCAUAUUCCUUGCUAAUAUCACUAUGCAUGGGCGUAGUCUUGUCUCGCAAUGAUUGCUAAGUAUGCUUGCACUAACUAUGAUAUGCUAGACUAUAUAGUUGAGAAUAACUUAGGGAAUAUUCUUGUAGUUCCUUCUAAUACCUUGCUAAUGACUUUCUAGAGUAUCUAAUUGAGGUGCUUAUCAUAUUUAUUAUGUGGCUAGAUCAGAUUAGUUAUCCUUGUCACUAUUAUCAUUUCAUAUAUCUUUUAUGUGACACUUAUCCCUGUAUGAUGAGUUAGAUAUAAUGUUCUCAAUUAUACAUGCAAUGAUAGAUGCUCAAUCUCAUAUUCUAUUCUGUAAUCAAUAGUGAUGAUUGACUAAUCCCUUCCCAGUGGUAAAAAUAUAAAUAACGAUACCUGGAAUACUUCCCGGUUAAAAUGCUACAUCGGUAUUAAUCUGUGCGCUUGCAGAUCCCAUUCAUUAUUUAUUUAGAAGAGCAAUUGCAUAUUUCAAUACCGCGUCUCUUAUAUCAUGCUGGGGAUGACAACUUGGCUUAAGUGGUGUGAGGGAUAGGUUUGGCAUUUUUGGCACCGUUGCUAGAUUUAGAACUUAGUCUACUUUUAGUAAUGAUGUUAAGAAUACCCAACAAGCAUUUUUGGCGCCGUUGCCGGGGAAGGUUGAUUACCAAUCAGGAAUAGAAUAAAAGAUUUAGAGUAAUCAUUCGCAUCACUAAUAUGAUUGAGCUUAUCUAUUCUCUCAUACAGUUUUACCCCGAUAUUUUUCUAUUUUAUCUUAUGCAGGGGAAUGUAUGAAUAGAAGACAUCUUCCAGGGAAUUUUGUUGACAAUCCUGAAGCAUUAUUCAAGAAGACGAGGGCCAAGCUAAAGAAAUCAUCAACACUUCAGCAAGAAGCUUCAUCCAAUCAAGAAGAUCACCGGAACUUGUCUUCAGAGUUCGAAGCCAUGGCAAACAAAUCAAUCCGCGAGUUCUCAGCUCCCACUACGGACAACAUCCGCACUGGACCUGCUGCAGAGAUCGAUGGCAACUUUGAGCUCAAGCCUGGACUUAUCAACAUGGUGCAAUCCAACCAGUUCUGUGGGAAGGCACACGAAGAUGCUAGUGCUCAUUUACAACACUUCCUGGAGAUUUGCAACACAUUCACCAUAGCAGGAGUUUCCAAAGACGCUAUACUACUUCGCCUCUUCCCAUUCUCACUAUUAGGAAGAGCGAAGCAGUGGUUCUACGCUACAAAGGAGAAGAAUACUACGUGGGCACUCUGCUCAACAAACUUCCUGGCUAAGUUCUUUCCCAUGGGCAAGACCAAUGCUCUCCGUGGGAAGAUUACAAGUUUUCAGCAACAAAAUGAUGAAUCUGUUCCAGAAGCAUGGGAGCGCUUUCAAGACUACAUCCUAGAAUGUCCCCAUCAUGGAAUGGAGAGUUGGCUAUUGAUGCAGACAUUCUAUCAUGGGCUCAGCAACAGUGCCCGAGAGACUAUGGAUGCUGCAGCUGGAGGAGCAUUCUUAUCACUUACUAUACCACAAGCCACAGCUCUUGUGGAGAAGAUGGCGUCCAAUCAAAGCUGGAAUGAAGAGAGGACCCAGAUACGCAAGAGAGGUGGAGGUAGGCAUCAGCUGAAGGAGGUAGACAUGCUGUCUGCAAAGCUAGACCUGCUCAUGAAGAAGCUCGACGAUAGAGCUGGAGACAAUAAAGAAGUUAUGCACAUCUACGACUCUCACAUGACUUGUGAGGAGUGUGGAGACACUGGACACUCAGGCAACCACUGCCUUGAGAUACUUGAGGAUGUGAACUACAUCAACAACAACAACAACUACUACAACCGUCCUCAACAAAAUCAAGGUUGGAAUCAACAGAGGCCUAACUACUCAGGUAAUUAUCAAGGUAACAAUUCUUUCAACAAUAAUAAUAAUUUUCCACCUUUGAGAGAGUUAGUGUCUAAUCAAGGUAAGCUAAUGGAUAAUCUAUCUAAGAAAUUGGCAUCUAAUGAUAAAAUACUAGAAAAUAUAAAUAAUAGAAUGGAUAAUUUUUCUACUGCCAUCAAGAAUCAAAUUAGCUUUAAUAAAAUGAUUGAAUCUCAGUUAAAUCAAAUAGCUGCUGCUGUUCCUACUACUAACCCCAGUAUACCAUCACAACCGGAAGGAUUAGAAUCUGCAAAUUUUGUAGACAUGUUUGAUGCAGGUAAUUGGAGUAACCCCGUCACUGAAUUCUCUACUGACCUUAUGCCGGUCAAGAGAGGCGAUCCAGGACGCCCCGUCAUCCCGAUCUCCAUCGGCAUGGUGGAUGUCCCAGAAGCACUCUGUGACUUUGGCUCCGGUGUCAACAUUAUACCCAGGGUACUCUAUGAAAAGUUCUUUACAUAUCCUUUAUUAGAGACAACCAUGUGUUUGCAGUUUGCAGAUCAGACGAUAACUUUUCCAAAAGGAAUAGUGAGGAACCUUUGUGUCCGAGUUGGUACCUUGUAUGCACCAGCAGACUUCGUAGUGGUAGAGACCGGAAAUGAUGAGAGAGCACCUAUCAUCCUAGGGAGGCCAUUUUUGAACACCACGGGAGCUAUCAUCUACGCCAGUGCUGCUAAGAUCAGUUUCUACGUCAAAAGGAAGAAGGAGAUAUUUUUCUUCAAGAACAAGACUACACAAAUUCAAGAUCAAUCCAGACGUAAAUCAAGGAAGAGGACCAACAGGAGAAACAGGAACAAGCAAGUGUGGACCGAGUCAGCUAAGAUGGUCACUGUAGUCCAUGGAGGCCAAGAUCAUCAACUUAAGUCGCCGUUUUUGACCAAGAAAGACGACCCAGGAAUGCCAAGCAUCUACUGCUCCAUAAAUGGAUAUAACUUCUACAAGACGAUUUGCGACACCGGAUCAGGCGUCAACAUAAUGGCCGCAGUCACCUAUCGGCUCUUGUUCGGAACCAUGCCACUAAGACCAACAUACAUUUAACUCCAGAUGGCAGAUCAGACAUUUCGAGAAGUUAAAGGAAUAGUAUCUGAUGUCCCAGUCAAAAUAGACGAUCACUUUGUCUACACAGACUUUCAAGUUGUUGACAUGGGAGAAGAUGAAUAUGAUCCACCCAUCAUCCUUGGAAGACCGUUCCUCAGCACCGUUAAAGCAAUUAUCUAUAUUGGAACCGGAGAAGUCCAUAUGCACUUCCCCUCAGAGAAGGUACGCCGUUAUUUUACUGACCCUGACUAUAUCGUUGAAGAAUCUAAGCAGGUCAGAAAGAGACGCAACCGCAACCAGAGGAGGCAGAUCAUCAAGGACGGAUGGGCAGACUAUGAAGGAGAAGUUGUAAGGUCAGAAGACGUAGAGUUUAAACAGAAUUAUCCAGAGGAGAUUGAAGCACCGAGUCAGGUAUGGAAAAUGAAGAUAACUAUACAAGAAGAGGAGGCGCUGCCGGAAGUACCGACUACGCCACCCAACGAACCUCAGGACGAUUAAGAAAUUGGAGAGUCCCGUUCGGAGUACUUAAAAACACCAAACGCCUUGCCAAGAGGUAAACUUGGUAGUUAUCCUUUCCCUUUCAAUUAUUUUAAAUAGUUUACUUAGAUAAACAUGCUCAUACUGUCUUAAAAAGAAAAUAAAAAUGUGAAAAAUAGUAAGCCCCAUGUGAAUAGACGAGUGGCAUAAAACCCAUACGUACAUUCACUGUGGUGGCAUAAAAAUAAAAUAAAUAUUUUUCUGCUUUAUAAAAUAAAAAUAUAAAAACAGGGAGUAAUAAUUAUUAAGGAGUCUCAAGAUGAUAAAGGCUAGAUAUUUAUGCUAACACUUAAUCAGUUCCACAAGCUUUGUUGUCUAUUUGAGCUCCACAGAAUUUAAGAAUUCAAGAAGACUAGCAGACGGAGGACAUUCUAAUCGCUGUCAGAAUACUGCUGACUUUCAACUACACCUCUGCCACCUGCUAGCUAUAUCAAGAGAAAUUACGUCAAAAUUCAGCUUGGGGGAGAGCACCCCCAUUUAUUCCGAUAAGUAUUUUUAUCUAUCUUUAUACUUAUAUUAUUUUAGAAUAUUAAAAUACACAUAAACUAUGGGAAAACCAAAUAAAGAUUUUAUGCUUAUAUAUAUUUAUUACUUAGUGUGUUUAAUUAAUAAGUAAAGUGGCUAUGCUAAUCUGUAUCUAAUAAAACUUAAGCAUGGAUAUGAUGAAUAGUUGCUCUGCCUAAUUUGCACAUUUUAAGUUCUCUCUCAAGUUUAGACAUAACUGUUAUAAUUUAAAGCUUGCCCUAGACCUAAACUUGUGGGAUGAAAACUUGAUCUGAAGUCUAAGUUGUUAACGGAUACGAUAUGGAAAGGCUGAGCUGCUGUUUAUCUGUUCCUAGAGAUGCUAGAAUUCUGGAGAAUUUUAUCUUUGAAAAUCUUUAAAAUGUUGCAUGAUGAGUUCCUGUAUGAUGAGAGUUUAAAUUCCUACCACAGCCAUAUAUACAUGCUUGCUAGACCUUGAGCCACGCAUUUACUAUUUACUGCUUAUGAGCAUUGAGUAUGGUCAAGCUGUGUAGACCCUUAGGAGCUUGUCAUGUGGUUAAAUCAAGAUUUCACUUGCACGUUCACUCAUAUAUGCUACUUCUACUCCGGAAGUACCAUCCACAUAUAUCCACCCAUUCCAUCUCCAGAACCACCUAAAAAUAUUCUACUCCUAAUCCGGGAGAGAAUAACCAAAAAUAUUUCUGUUUUCCCUUGUGAAAUAAAUGCUCAAGUUAUCUUGUUACUACCACUUGCUAUAUUAUCUCAAGAGAUGAGUGCUCUAAAAAAAAGAAGAAGAAAAUAAUACGAGGAAAUAAAAAGGAGCAAGUGCUCGGAACCUCGAAAGAAAAGAAAAAGUGAGACGAGAGGUAAAAAUGGACAAGUGUCCGACAGUAGAAUUAGGGGUGCAAGAUACCCACCUGAGAGAAAAGAAAAAGAAGAGCAUCUCAUUCUCCUCAUAAAGUUUCAAAAGCAAGGAAGGUAUGUAUCCCCUCAAAAGAGCAAAGUAGAAUUAGACUUUCACCACCAUUGUUUUCACCAUUGUUAUCACCAUCAUCACCAUAUACCAUUCAUUCGCCACACAUGCACAUCUUGAUUAAACUUAUUGACUUGUUACUUUGGAUCCAUGGUUUGACUAUGCAAUAAAUGUCUUGUAAGUAUGUAUAUUUUAUCUCCCACCUAUGAGCUCCAGAUAUUAAAGCCUUAUUAGAAUAGAGUGAGAGAGAAGACAAUGUCACUAUGCCUUAUACCCCAAAUACCACAUAUCUUGAGAGAAGGCAUAUACCAUCAAUGCCUUGGUAAGGAUCCAAAAAUACCACAAAAGAGAGACCUGAGAGAAUCAUACAAGGAAUUCUGAGUUUUAUUUGAAAAUCUGCAAAAACCCCA